Molecule: long non-coding RNA, 87780 nt
Filed under: Citrus x clementina
Lineage: Eukaryota; Viridiplantae; Streptophyta; Magnoliopsida; Sapindales; Rutaceae
Description: Citrus clementina (C. clementina) long non-coding RNA (CCLE_LNC002249)
Source: RNAcentral
CAACCUUUCUGCUAUUGACUCCAGCUUUGAACAACUAAGAACUUCAAGGGACUUAAGAGACGGAGGUAGAUUGCCAACUUCAAGGGACUCAAGCGUGGCAGGUAACUCGUUUUUUGAAAAUAUACAUGUCAGAGAUGGACAUUCGCUAAUAUGCAAGCCCUCGAGAAGAGAUGAGGUGUACCUUCUGCUGCUGCUGCUGCUGCUACUCUGGAUGCCCUCUUCCACUGUCAAAGUCCUUAGAUUAUCACAAUUAUGGAUGUACAACAUCUUAAGGCUCGGUGGUAGCUGGACUCCAGCAAUAUAUGUCAACGAACGGCAACUCAAAAUCUCCAAGAUCUCGAGAGAUGAAUUGGUGUCGCACAUCCAUGCCUCUGGUAACAAUUUCAGUGCAUCACAAGAACUAAUAUGAAUUGUCUUCAACUUGGAAGGCAGAGCAACCUCAGGAAAGGAAACAAGGGAACUGCAUUGGUAGAUUUCUAUCUCUCUCAAGGAGCUAAGGCUGAGCGAUGAUUGUGGCAGCUUCACAAGGUCUUGGCAAUCUCUCAAUUCUAUAUAUUCGAGUCUGCAUGACAACUCGCAGAGCUGCUGUUGUUGGUCUUUCUCUUCCUCCGCCACCAAGGAUUGAAGUUUGGGACAGCUGCCAAUCGUCAAUCUUUUGAGAGAGCAAAUGUCUUGUAGUAAUCCAUCAUGACUCUUCCAUAUAUAUGUUUGCUCUUUUGUCGACAAAAUUAAUUCUUCCAAUUUCUGUAGUUGUGGUUUCAAUGGCCCCACAAGAAACACUUGAUUUGAUGCAUCUCUACAAACCACUGAAUUCUGUGAUCCGAGAUGACCAGUUGCACUUUCCCACACAACCUUUUUGCAUCCACCAAUUUCCAAUUUGCAAAGAGCUGGAAGACUCGAAACUGAAACUAACAAUUCUUCACAUCCUUCAAUAACAAGCAUCUCCAAUGCAGGAAGGUGCUCUGGAAAUGUUCCUUUCAGUUUAGAACAUUUUAAAAUGUGAAGUUCUCUCAAUUUAGGAAACCCUUCAACUCCUUGACUGGAUCCAUGAGGAAUCCAAUCUUCCCAUUCUUGCAUGUUUUCAAAAAGAAGAGUCUUCAAGCAUGGAAAUGGAAUUGGAGAAACAUUCCCAUAGAACUCUGAACCCAACCUCUUUACUCUGCUCAUUCCACAUACUACAAGAUGCUUUAAAGAGGGUAGUUGCCCGACUGACGGCAGGGCAGUACACAUGUCACAAUUUUUAAAUUUUAGGGUCACCAAAUUUGAGAAUGAGGAAUCUCCCAACCAAGUUGGAAAUUUCAUACCUCCAUAGCCUUUGAUACAAAAUUGCUCCAGAUUUGUAUGAGGUUUCAGCAUGUCAAGCAUGCCCAUUUCAGUUUCUGCCUCCCUUGAAGAAGAACCAUCGGUACUGCAAGUCCAUUUAAGCGAUAAUUCUUUCAGAUUCUUCUUUCCAUCCAUUUGAGCUACCAUGGCAUCACCAACGCAUUUUGCAUUCUCCAAUUUUGAAAUGUUAAGUGUCCCAUGAAGGUGCGUCAACAACUUUAGCUCUCGUAACCCGGAACCACUGCCUUUUCCCACAACAAAAUUACACAACGUCUGAAGACUAGUCAACCUACCAAUUCCUAGUGGCAUUUCCUCCAACGACUUCGUAUUUGAAUUCUUAAGAUGAUGCAAUUUGGCGAGGUUUCCCAUGUCUGCACACAACUUCUUCAGCCGAUCACAAUCUUCCAACAAAAGGCUAUGCAAAUUGUAAAGCUUGUUGACUGAGUCAGGCAGAGUUCUAAUCUCAGUUCCAGACAGGUUAAGGUACCUUAAAUACCUCAAAUCACCAACUGAAUCCGGUAGCUCGAAGAUGUGGUAUCCACGCAGAGAGAACGCCCUCAAGCGUUGGGGUUUGAGCAACUUAGGAAGAAUGCUAGGAGCCAAGUAGCCAGGCCCACUAUUUGUCAACAUUACUGGUAAAAAAGUUCUCAAAUGUUGGAUAUCAUACAAGUCCCCGAACCUUUGAACGCCAUCAUAAUCUCCACGAAUGUAUGAUAGGUGACGAAGAUUUCUGGAAAAACAUUGUUGCUUGUUAACCUCCGAGGUAUACUCCAGUGUGAAGUAUGUCUCCCCUGCAGCCCAACGGGCAAGGUCGUUGAUAAGAUCGUGCAUAACAAAUAGUGAUGCAUCGGUGGCCGAUUGCUGCAAAAAAGAUCUUGAACGUAGCUCCUUAAAGAAAUCACGACCUAAAUCUUCACUAGGAUUCUCAUCUUCUUUGUGAUCCAAAAAACCGGAGGCACACCAUAAUAAAAUUAUCUCCUCCUCUUCAAAUUCAUAAUCCUUUGGAAACAAUGAGCAGUAUGCAAAGCAUUGUUUCAAAGUUGGAGGAAGAUAAUAAUAGCUCACUGCAAGGGCUGGUAUAAUGCCACACCUCUUUUCUGAUAAUUCCCAUAUCUUGCUACAGAGCACACGUUCCCACUCACGUCUGUCAUGUUUUCCACGUAAAAGUCCUCCAAGUGUUUGUGCUGCCAAGGGCAAGCCAUCGCAUUUGGUCACUAUCUUCUUGCCGAUUUCCUCCAAUAACUUAUGUGACCCCAAAGAAUGUUGAGCGAAUACAGCCAGACAAUCAUUAUCUGACAACUUUUUUAAUUGAUAAGAUGGAACAGUACCCAUGAUUUCUGCAACCUCUUGAUUGCGAGUAGUGACAAUAAUUUUACUUCCUGGUGCACCAACUUCAAAUGGACGUCUGAGUUGAACCCAAUCAUCGUAAUUCCGGUUCCACACGUCAUCCAAAACAAGCAAAAAUUUCUUUCCAGACAGUUGCUUACUCAGUUCCUUUUGAAGUGAAUUCAAGCUGGGAUCACCCACGUUCUGGCUAGCAACAAUGGAUGUUAAGAUUGUUUUUGUUAGCCUCUUAACGUCGAAAUCAUCAGAGACACAAGUCCAUGCCUUGAGAUCAAAAUGAUCCUGCACUUGCUUAUCAUUGUAGACAAGCUGAGCAAGAGUGGUUUUGCCCAGCCCGCCCAUACCUAUAAUAGGAAUAACAGAGAAUCCACCAUCGUUGCUUAAAUCAUCCCUCAACAGCAGUUCAACAACAUCCUUCUUUUCUGUUUCCCUGCCAUAUACUUUGGCUUCAUCCACCAAAGAGGUUGUCUCUGGCCUUUGACUGGCUUUUUUGGAUCCCCCAGCUGAACUUUCUUUCAAAUCUAGCAAGUUUUUCUUUGUCACAAUUUCUUGAAAUCUGCUGUCGAUCUCUUUGAUUUUGGACAUCAAGUCAUAAUCGAACUGAGUCGAUUGUGGAGUAAAAAUGGUGAAGCAAGUAUGAAUGAACUUCCGAAGCUUACUUGGUCUCGUAUGACUGCUACUGGGUUGAUCAUGAGCAGCAGCUGGUUCUCCAUUUCCAAGCGGCAACCUCCUCCGGAAAGCCUCGGUUUGAAACUCAUCCAACAAGUCUUCAACAUCAUAAGCCAAGUUCUGAAGCUCGCCAAGCCACAAAUUCACAGACGGAGCCGUCCUCCUCUUCUCCUCAGCAUCAUCAAGCACUGCCUUGAUCAUCUCCAACAUAUUCGCCCACCUCAUCAGAUCGGCCUCGAUCUCCUUUUGGCGUGCAAAAAACAGAACCCCCUCUGAAGCUAACUUAUUGACCAGCAAAUCAACGGACGCCGUAAGGAUUGCCUCUCCGAUCAUUGACAUUUUUUUUUCCUUUUUUGGGGCAAAGGAAGAAAGGAGCAGAAUUAUGCGUUAUGGAAAGCAGAAUGAGAAAUUUGAACGGGUGAGAAAAUGGAUAAUUAAGCAGAAUGAGUUUGUGAUUGUGAAGGGUCUGGCCCAACAAGCUUAGUAGAAAUCACGCGUUUAUACUUUAUUGACCAAUGACUAAUAAUUUGCCAAUUCACUCAUCACCACCACUUGGUGAGCAAAAUGAAAAUGCUUAGUAAUUAAACGUGGCAAGUCUCCCCACUUGUUGUUCCUUGCAGCUAAGAAAAGAAAAAACAGAGCCGUAAUUAAUGACAGAAUUUUAAAAAUAAUAAUAAGAGAAAAACCUACACAUUUUCGACUUAGAGUGGAACCGUAAUUAAUGCUAAAAUUUACUCAGCUAAAAUUUUCAAAAUAUUGUUCUUUAUAAUUUUCAAAACCGUAAUUAAGGUUCAUCUCAAAUGUUUGAAGAGACUCUAUCAAUUCUUCUGCGCUAAGAAUAUUAAAAUUCUUAUUUUUUCUUCAAACGUUGAAUAAUGAAAAAAAAUGUUAAAUAUGGAGAAAAAUAGAAUGCAUCCAUCUUUGCUGUAGAAGUCUUCUACUUAUAAAAGCAAGUUAGAAUAAACGAUUUUAAUCUCUCUUUUUAUUCCUGUAAGUGCACUACAUUUUUUUUGUUUUAAUCUCAAUGUGAAGUCGUAUCAUAAUGUUAUGUUAAUGUUAUAUUCUUGUUGGAAAAUGAAAUUUUAGAUAAAACAAAUUCGACUCAUUUGUUGAAGGUAUAUAUUUAGUAGGUUGCUAACAUAAAGUAAAUGAACUAAAAGACAAUACUACCAGCGAUAAUUUAGCAAGUUUCGCAUGCUCGUCUUUCUUGAAAUAUUAUAUGGGAAUGGGAUCAAACAACAGUGAUACAAAGAGAAAAAUGGUAAUCCUCUGAUUGUAUUUUUUUUUUCUUUUUCAAAAGAGAUGGUGGGGUUGGGUUGUUUGCAAAGUUAUUAGUGUGGGUCUAUUUAAAAUGUUAAGAAAUUUUAUGUCCUUUUUUCAAAGUGAAUUUCCAUUUUUCAUUUCUCAUUAAGUAAAACCCACAGCAAAAUUAAAAAGAAAAAACAGAGCCCACUAUAAAUAUAAAAUCGAAGGAGCUCAUAAUUAUACCUUUGCUUUACAUACUAAAUUAAAUAAAAGCCGAACCAAGAAUCUUGCCUUUACUUAACAUGAUUAAUUAGACACUACUUCAGAGAGAAUACGAAAGCAAAGAACCCUUUUGUUAAUCUUAAAUGUUAGGAAAAUAAUUAGCUUGGAAUAAAGCUGCGUUAUUCUCCUCUUACCGUCUCUUCAGGUUCAUUUCAAAAGUUUGAAGAGAUUUUAUCAAUUCUUCUUAUAAAGGCAAGCUAAAUUAAAAGAUUUUAAUCUCUCUUCUUAUUACUAUAAGUGCACUGCUUUUUUUUUAUAAUCAACAAUGUCAAUUUGUAGUGUAAUAUUAUAUUCAUAUUCCUGUUGCGUCGAAAUAAGGUAAAAUGAAAUUUUAAAUCACACAAAUUCGACUCGUUUGUUAAAGGUAUAUAUUUAAUAAGCUAAUAACAUAAUUAACAUAACGCUAUUAUUACACUAAAUGAAAUAAAAGACGGUACCCUCCACCAAUAAUUACAUUAGCAAGCUUCGCAUGCUCGUGUUUCAGGACCUAGACAUUGGCGAAUUAAUCUAGGAUAACGAAACAAUUUCAAAAAGCAAAAUGGAUACUAUACAUUUUCUUUUUUUAAUUGUACAGAAAACGGGACUAAUUUUCAAAUAUUUUUAAAUUCACUUAUUUACAAAAGCUAUACAAAAUGAUUUCCUUUUUAUUUUUGAUGAGCAUAAUUUACAUACAUAUUUUACUAUUUAUUAUAUAAUUACUAGUUAUUUUUAUUUGUUAUUUUAAUUAAUUGAAUUAUUUUAUUUCAUAGGAAAUUAAUUGGAGAUUAUGGAUGAAAAGUGCGUAAAGAAUAACAAUUUGACAGCAUUGAAGAUCAAAUCAAUUUGCGGAAGGAAUUAAGCAAAUGUGCAAGAAAUUCUAUUCGAAGAAACCGAAGCCAAUAAAUUGAAUAUCCAUACUCGUGCAAACAAAGAAGAAGUUUAAAACUAAAGUGGGCAGCACAUUAAAAAAAGCUUUUAAUUAAGUCUUUGAAUGGAAAGUCAAAAUAGAAUAAAGGAAGGAAAUCAAUAGCUUUUGGCUUUUAUUGUUUUCAAUUACGUGGCAGGCUUAGAGCUUUAGCUUGUAAGAGUUGGUUUGGUUAUUAUCACAAUAGGAUUUGGUGGCCAAGCAAUAUAAAAGGGAGUUUUGCUUUUGAAUUAAAGGCUGGACGGAAACAAAAGGGAGGAGAAUUCGGCUUUGAACAGAGAGCAGCGGCAACGGCAAUAUUUCGGCUUCCAUGGCUGAAUUUAUUUCUUUUGUUGCUCACAAUUUAAGUAUGUCUAGCUAAUUUUCUUAUACUGAGGUUAAGGAUGAAACCCUAUUCAAUGAAAUAAUUAUCUUUUUAUUUAUUUAAUUCCCUAUAUAUGUGCUUUAAUGUUUAUGGUUUUUAUUUCACAUGAUUAAUUGGACGUUAUUAAAAUCUUUUCAUCAAUUCUGUCAUGCAUUAUUAAUUGUUAGGAUUAAUAUUCAAUUAAUUCUAUACUUGGAUCUAUAAAGUUUAUACAUGAUUAUCUUUGAUUUUAUGUCUUUCAUUAAAUUAUUUACAUAGAGUGCUUAGGAAAACUUUGACUCUUUGUUAUUUAAUAUGUUUACAUGAGAUGCUUACAUGUCAUACUAUUAAGUAGAAAAAGAACCUACAUUACAUUUAAUUUUAAUUGGGCUUAAUUGUUAUAUUUAUGAGAUGACAUAGAUUGAUUUUGAGUUGUCACUCUAAAAUUAGGGAUUCAUUAAUAUUUGGAUAAUUACAAAUUAAAUAGUGGUGGAUUCCGAAACCUUGAUAAUUUUUAUUUUAUUGAUUUCUCAUUUGCUUUAAUUGUUUUCUUAGUUUAAUAAGUUUAAUUUCUUUUAAAAAUUCAAAUUACUCAACUAAGUUAGGAUUAAUAUUAAUUUUAGAUUUAAAUUAGACUUUUCAAUUUAUAACAAUCCAUGUGGGAUUGACCUCGUUACUACUAUUCUAUUUCUAGAUUCAUGCGCUUGUAAGUAUAUUAAAACUUUCACAACAAUUUUGAAAGGAAUCAAAUAACAGUGAUACAAAGAGCGCAAAGUUGCAAUUCUCUUAUUAUAUUUUUUCUCUUUUUUAAAAGGAGAUAGUGGGGUUUGGUUGGUUGCUAAAUUAUUGGUGUGAGGGUCUAUUUGUUUUUGUUUUCACUUUAUUAAUUAUACCAAGCAAACAUGUAAUCAUUUGUAAAGGGGUCACUAGCAUUGGAUUAUGUAAGAUGAAUUCAUAAGACUUAUUAAUUUCGAUGAAAAUGUAGCGUUAUUAAGUUGUCAAUUCAUUAACUUGAGGUACUAAUAUUUACUAAUUGUGGUGAUUAAUUUAUUUAACUUGUCAUAAUUUUCAAUUGAGAAUGAAGUUCAAUCAAUGUAUGAAAAAAAUAAUUUUUUUAGAUUUUUAAUUCCUAUGAUUUAAUUUCCCCCUGUUUCGAUUAUUGACGUGUUAAAAGCUUGUAGAAUAUCAUGAAAUGCUUGUAUCUCACCUCGCAAAUUGACAAAUAUUGGUUGGUUUCUCCAAAGGCUACCAUAAUGAAUUGAAAGUAAAAACAACAACCAUUGAAAAUUAAUUUUAAAAUCAUUUUUACUUGAAAUUUUUUAAAAGAAAAAUUAAGCAAAUUAGAUUACAGAUAUCAAUCUUAAUAUUUUGUUGAUGAAAAUUAAUUAAUUUAUCUCAGUACUUUCUUAAUUUUGUGUUGUGCACCGCAUUGGUCACUUCUGAUUGUGUUGCAUAUUUGUUAAUUCAAAGAAAUAGAACUUCUUUAUCGAUCAAACUUAUUUUAUUAGUAUUCUUCAUCAUAUGGUUAAUGGCUUAGCCAAUGAAGGAGAAGGGGUCAGCCAAAACAAAUAAAGUACUUUCUCAUGCAUUAACCUUUAUUAAAAAGCUUUAUUAACUGUUGUAGUUAAAAUAAUUUUAAAACAAGUUAAAACAGUUCCAACUCAAAAUCAGUAGGCUGCAAUUGGGUUGUUACACAUAUUUCUAAAUUUCAGUCUAAUUUAAUUGUGUAUGGACAAACUAACUUUAUCACUUCUUUCAUAUUAAUACUCAUAAAUUUCAACCUUUUUUUAUGAUGAUGGACAAUCUAACUUAACAAAAAUAAUGUUCAAAUUAUCACAAAAUGUUCUUUUCUUAAAAAAGAAAAGAAAAUCAUAUAUAGUAGUUAAUUUUUCUUCUUCUGUACUCCAAGAUCCAACUCCGUACUCCACUUGUUCGUUGUUAUUAUACCCAGCCAUUAGAUUUUAAUUACGUUGAUUUAACGGUUUGGAUUCGUAAAUGAAUAACGACGUAAAGUUUGGCUACCAUCUGAACCCACCGCAUCUAAUUGGUUUUGUGAUUUUUUGCUUUCUUCACUGCAACGCUUGACUAGUUCUGGAAAUAUCGACCGCCAUCAACGGCAAAUCUGAACCAUGUAUUAUUUGCGAAUACAUUCAUUAAACUAUUAAACAUUCAGAGAAGAAAGCAAACCGUGGCAGUAUAACAAAAACUGCGAAUGGUCAUUCCCAACACGAACCCCUAUGGUUGUUUUCCUUUUAAUUUUCUUCUUUGAAUUCUCCUUUUAUUAAUCAUUAGAAAAACUCCAUUUUUUUUGUUUUAAAUCAUGUGUUAUUAACAUUUACAUGGUUAAUGUCAUCGAAAUCGAAUGGUUGUUAUCUACGAAAAGAGAAUUGCUAGAAAUUUUGUUAGUCCCAUUGCAACAAUAUAUUGUUAUAAAUUGCAUUGUUUUCCAUAUAACAAAUAUAAUAAAAUCUCAAUAAAUUAAUAGUUUUUGGGACCAUAAAAAAAUUAUUAAAAUUAAACAAAUAUCAAUUAAUCAGUAAAUUAAUAAAUUAUUAAUUUAUGAAAAUAUUCAUUAUUUUGGAAAAACAUGAUCACGCUUUUAAUAUUGAUUUACCUUGAGUUAGUAUCUAUUAGGUUUUAUUUGUCUAUUAGUUUUCUCUUGGGAAGAUUUUUUAAGAGUUAGCUGCUUUAUAUUAACAGUAAUAAAAUUAUUAUUUAACGGUUUUGUUUUUCCAUGCUAAAGACCGAUUAGUCGUCUUCUUCUCCUCAGCAUCAUCAAAACCAGGGUUUUUAACUCCUAAAACGUUUCUUUUUAGAAAUAUAUUACUUUAUUCAUCUAAUAUGUUAUCUAACAAAUAGACACAGAUGAAAUCACUCUAAAGUGAAGAUGAAAGGGGAAAAAAAACAUUCCAACCACCAAUAAUUUAGCAAGCUUCACUUUUAUUCCACCAAAGUGUAAAUAGUGCCAGCCCCCACCACCAUCAAUAAUUUAGCAAGCUUCACACGCUUGUUGUCUUCUCCUUGACGAACUGGACGUGGGUGGACCAAGAAUCAAUGAAAGAAUUUUAAAAAUAAUAAUAAAAGAAAAACAUAAACAUUUUGGACUCGGAGUAGAACCGUAAUUAAUGCUAAAAUUUACUCCGCUAACGUUUUCAAAAUAUUGUUCUUUAUAAUUGUACAGCAAAUAAGACUAAGUUUUGGACAUUUUCAUAUUCACUUACUUUCAAAAGCAGUAUUUCGAAACAUUUUACAGAAUCAAGUAACAGUUAUAUAACGAGAAAAGUGCAAAGUUGUGUAAUUCUAAUGUUUUUUUUUUUUUAUCACAGACACUCAGAUAAUUUUUUAUUUGGGUCGCCAACUCGCCAAUUAACCCAUGAUUGAAUGAGUGUUUAGAAAGAAAAUCAAUAAAAAACAGUUUUUUUUUUGGUCGUCGAAAUAUAGUAAGUGAGAAAGAUUAUUCUGUUUUUUUUGUUAAUUAGGUUAGUAAUUAUGAUUGAGUGACUCAGAACUAUAUUCUAGAUUGAGAAUCAACGGUUCUCCCACACUGAGAGGCUGUAAGUUUAAGAUUGUCGUUUGCUAUUUCAUCGACAAGAGAACACUUGAAUUUAUUAAAAGGAGAAGGCCAUAAAGAUUUUCCUUUAUGAGAAAUGUAUCUGAUCAUUCCUUUUUACUUGAAAAUUUCAUAUAUAAAAACUCAUUAAUAAAUGACAGAAUAUACAUAAAUUAUUAAUUCAUUUGAUAGUUGAUUAUCGAAGGACAUGUGACCCAUGGAAGCAUGCAGUCUAUAAAAUAAUUCUUUUUUUUUUUUAACAAAAAAUUGGUGAUGUUGAAAAGCAAAAUUAUUAUUUCUCUAAUUAGGGUGAACAUUCAUAAAAAGAAUGCCGUAUGAAACUAAAUUAUUAAUUCGUUUGACAUGUGACCCACAAUAAAUAGUUAAAUUUGGCGGCAACAAUAAUUACAAGACGAACUUAAAGCAGCGCAUAGGUUUUUCUUAAAAAUACAUAAACAAUUCGAUAUUUUUUAUUUGACAGUUUUUAAGAAAUGUCAAACAUAUAUGACAUUUUGUGAAAAACUGAGUAAUUGUGAAAUAUAAAUGAUAAUUUAUUUAAACGUCAAAUAAUUGUGACGUUUUAUCAAAUAAGUGAUAAAUAUCUUACAUAUUUAUUGAAUAAUUAUCAUUUACCUUUUCCUUUUAUUGACUCGAGCAAAAAAAACAAAAAAACUGACUAUACUGCUUUUAUUUUCGUUCUUAGAACAGAUUUUAGUUUCUUUUGAGAAAAUUCAAACUCAUUCCCAUUACUUUCUUUUCAAUAAUCACCUCUCAGUUUUUCAUCAAUCACUCAAUUCCGAAUUUCAUCUCCAUUCUCUUUUGAAGAAGAACGCACGAAGAAUUUUAGCUUGCUUUUGCUGCUUCUCGAAUAUUGGGUAUUGUUUCCUUUAAUUUAGAUAAUUGUUUUUUAUAUCUCUCUUUCUAGUUUGAUAAUUUAUGGUUAUACUUGAAUUAAUUGUAUUUUUAAUCAACCAAGGUUGAUUUAAUUGAUUCCAAGUCUCAAUUUCCUGUUCAACAAUUUUCAUACUCAAUUUUGAAAGAAUCAAUGUAUUUUAUCUUUGGUUAGUACACUUCUGUUCAAUUUUUGUUUAUUUAACUUAAGAUAUCUUUUUCUUUCUUUUCUUCAAGCAAAUUAUAGAUUAUAUUGAGAACAGAGUUUUCUCCUUAAUUCCGCCAAGAGCAACGUUGAUUUCAGGUGAUAAUUGAAUGUGUAAUAUUUUCAAUUGAAAUUAAUUGAGUCUCGUGAUAAUAAUAGGGAUUUGAGAUUUACAUCCUGUUGAAAUGAUUUUAGAGUGUUCUGUUAUUUGAAUGCGCAUUAAUUGUUUGAUUAAAUGUCUCUUUAAAAGAUUAUUUUUGUUUUUAGCAAACAUCUUAAUGCACUUUACAAAUUGAAUCCAACAAGGGAAAAUUAUAGAACUGCAGCAGUUUUCAAAUUGAUUGCAUAUUAGAAGUAAUGUUAAUUUAUGCUGCAACAGUUCAAUGGGCUGGGCACAAGUUUAGGACUUCAGUUGCUCAAUUAAUGAAUCCACCACUCAUCAGACUUGGAACUUAUAUCUAUUGAAUCAAUAAAAAUAGUUGAUGGAAUCAAUGCCGAAAGCUUCAUUUGAUAUUUAUUUAUAACAUCUGUUAGAUUCUGGACAAUCACAAAGAUAUAGUAGCAGAAACUAUGUUAGAGACACUAUAGUUGCUUAAUUAGUGAAAUUGUGCUCUCAUUGCCCCCUUUUUUUGGUUGAUUCUAUAAUUUUAUUAGUUGUUCUUGUGGUUGUAAACAAUAUCAAUUUCUAAUAUUAAUAAAACUGAAUGAAUAAAAUGCGAUGCAUUUGCAGGAAAGUUAAUAGUUUAAAUAUGGAUAAAUCUUGGAUGUUGAUGGAUAGAAGGUCUAUAGAAUAUGAGAACAUGGUAAAUGAGUUUCUCAAGUUUGCAGUACUUCAUGCUAGUCAUCUUGAGCUUUUGAGAUGUCCAUGCCAAGCAUGUCUUAGUUUAUAGGCUCAAACAAUUAACAGUAUAGAAAAUGCAUGAUAGAACACAGAACUCAUAUUUUAGCAACAAUCCUCAGCUCACUGGCCCUUAGUUCAGAAUGACAAUUCUUAUUAGCCAAAGGUUCAAAAUGAUUUUUAGUUGUUUAUAAGUAGAGAACUAGAUCAACAAAUAAUUGAAGACCUGCAGCUUGGCUAUUGAACUAUACGAUGAUGCCAAUUCGAAGACUACAACUUGGCUCUGCCAUUCGAAGUAAGCAACGCAGCUGCCCAAAGUCUGCCAAACCAAGAAAAAUAAAGACUUCUCCUUAGCAAUUAAGUUAAUAUAAGGAAUGUUGCAUGUCCACAAAACUAGGUAGACGCAACUGGGACUUCAAUAUAUAUAUAGAUAUAUAUAUAUAUAUAUAAGCAUUUCCUAGAUCAAUAUUAUUCUCAGUAACUGAAUAUUGAAGCUGACCAUCACAUUUAAUAAUAAAUCAAUAUCAGGAAUGUUGUUGAGGAGUAUUUUGAUAUUUACAAAAGUGUUCAAAGUAAAAAUUGAUUUCUUAAAACCCAUUAGCUAGCGCACAUAAUAAUGGGGAGAAAAUUUUAGACUACGAAUAGUCCCACCCAUUUAAUAAUAUUCUUCAAUCAAUUAUGUUUACUUCAAAAAAAAAAAACCAUCUCUUUAUUACUUUCUAACUAUUCAUAUUAAUGUGUUCAUAAUUAUGAAGAACCGGUGUAAUUUAUAUGAUGUAGGAAGCACAUUAGUCAAAAUCAUCAGAAUCUCAAAAUUUCGUGAUGUUGUGCCAAAUAUGCAAACCAAAGCUUCCUACAUUCUUUGUACGUUUGUGUUAGUUACAAGCAAUCACAGUGGUAAACGAAAAAAAACGAAUUAAAACACAUGAGGAGAUUUAAAUGAAAAUGUCUUAAUCAUAUAUCGCAUGUAAGACCUUUUGUACUCAAAACUGAUCAGCACCCAUUCUGCCCGCCGUGUGAUCACAUCUUGAAGGGAGUGUUGCUUCAGCAUUUUUAUCAUUUUUACUAUUUCUAGGAUCCAUUUUGUCACCUCCCUCCCUCCCCCCGGUUUCUAAAAUAAUUAUAUAAUAACCAUAUAAUUAUUGGUUGUUCUAGCAAAUAAAAAAAAUAUAUAUAUAUAUAUAUAUAUUAAUCUUUUAAUAACAUUAUCACUUUGUCAAAAUAAAAAAUCUCCUCAUUAAAUAAUUAUAUUAUAUAUAUUCAUUUAUUUAUCCAAAUAAAAAAGUAUGAAGUCAAAUAGUACACAAUAAUUUAACUAAUUUGAAUUGGUUUAUUUUUAAUGAAACAAAUAACAUUCCUAAAUGCUUCUCUUGAUCCUUAAUUUAUUGAUAAUUUUGUCAAUUUAAGGUCGGCUAUAUAUUGAUUAAAUUACAAGCUUAGACUAUCGAAAGCUGGUUACAGUUAUGGAGGCAGGAAAAAUUUUAUUGUACCAGAAAUUUUUUCUACAACAGUCCAUGCAAAGUAAACAUUUGUAAGGAAAUUGGAGAAUAAUUACAAAGCCAACUAAAUUUUAUGAGAAUCAAUUUGGAGUUUUUGUUAAUCGCCAUUUUGCGUUCAUACAAAGCAAGUGUAGAUACCGGCACAAUAAGCUAAAUGCAAAAUCCAAUGUAGGACAGUGGGGUUGGGACAACGAAAUGGGGAAAUGGGAAUCUAGGUAAUUGCACUGAACCUUAAACUGAGAGUACGGGCACUUAAAAUUUUUAAAGUGUCUAAUAAGUUUCAGCUAAAAAGGAAAUAGGCUGUAAAAUUGCUAAAUUCAUUUUGAUUUCUAAAUUCAUAAAUAACCUUAAAAGUUCUCUGAUACAACUUGUCAAUAAUGGUGAAAAUUCAAUUUCAGAAUGACAAUUCUUAUUAGUGAAAGAAUCAAAAUGAUUUUUAGUUGUUUAUAAAUAGAUCACUAGAUCAACAAAUAAUUGAAGACUGGCUUGGCUAUUGAACCAUACGCGGCAAUUCGAAGACUGAAACUUAACUCUGCCGUUCGAAGUAAGCAACUCAGGUGCCCAAAGGCUGUCAAGCCAUCAAGACAAUACGAAGAUACAACAUCAAUAAUAAUUACAUAUUACACCUACCCCAAUAAGAAAUUAGUUAAUACAGUCCUAGAAAGAAAUUUACAAACCCAUGCUGUAGGAAUAAUUAAUUAAUUUAUACAGUUCGGUACUCAUUCCUCUUCUGUUUCAAAUCCAUAUCCACUGCUCUGCCAUUUAUUACUACGCAAGGUAUAUGGGUUAGCAAGUGCCGACAUUGUCCUCCAUUCUUUAUGUGCCUUUCUUCUAUCAAGGGACAACCCAAGAUCUCUAAUCGCAAGAAAAAUAUUUCAAAGUAAAAAGUGAUUUCUUAAAAUCUAUUAGCUAGUGCACAUAAUAAAAGGCCAUUCAUGGUAAAUUUUAGAUUACAAGUAGUCCCAAUAAUAUUCUGCAAUCAAUUCCGUUUAUUUUAAAAUAAAAGAAAUCCAUCUCUUUAUUACUUUCUAAUUAGUCAUAUUAAUGUGUUAAUAAUUGUGAAGAACCAGCGUAAUUUAUAUGAUGUAGGAAACCCGUUAGGCAAAAUAACCUGAAUUUUUUAAAGUAGGGGCUAGACAUAUUGGGCAUAACCUCAGUUUCUGUUACUUCUUUGACCCUGCCUAAGCUCUUUUAUGGGCUAAUAUCAAAAUUUCGUGAUAUUGUGCCUAAAGAGCUUCCAAUUCAAGGAGCUCCCCUGUUUUUGACUGAAACAUAUGUAAUCCGAAAAAUUUAUAAUUAGAUAAAUCAUUCAAAAUCUCCCUGAAUCUAACCCACAUUUCUAUGGUUUAAUAACAUAUCACAAAGGUGCCUAAUAUAAUGAAAUUAGCACUAGUUCACGAGAUUGCCAUUAUAUAUUACAAGUCUUUUUAUGAUGUAGAUUAGAAGGGAAAAUACGAAGGACAUAUUAUAUAUUAUAUAUGAUUGAAUUUAAUCCAUGAUAAUUAGACAAAAUAACACUAAUCUAGCUAACUAAUCCACCCAUCAUAAUAAUUUGAUUUUCAUUAUUUUAUUGUGUCCAAUCAUGCUAAUUUAAUAAAAAAAAUACAGAACACUUGAGGAUUUAGAUAUUCAACAACUUUGGCCAAGUUUGAAAAAGAUUAGAGCUUCCUUCAUGCUUUGUGUUCUUAUGUUACACAUGAUCAUAUUAUGUUACAUUUGACAGAAAACUGAAAAUUAUUGAAAAAAAAAAAUCUUAGUUAGCACAUGAUCAAAAUGAGAGAUUAAUGCACACACAUCACAACAAUGUUUCAUUCAUUUUGAAUCUAUAUUUACAAAACUUGUAUCCGAUGGUUUACAUUUGUUUAAUCUAACUGCUAUGACAUGUGUACUGUCAAAACGCUACAGCUGCCAUCUCUGUUUGUCCUUGUUGCAUCCUUGAUCUUAUAUUAUCCUGGAGAUUAUUGAAUGUUCUUCUCAUUCUCAUGUGCUCGAGGGUCCUUUCUUGAGACAUUUCAGCAAACACCUGAUUCAUCCUAUUAAACAUUAGCAUCAUUAAUCAGUAAAUGAUGUAAGGUAGCCCUGUUUCGUGAAGUCAACAUAAAUCAGUCACCUUAGAUUUUCUGAGUCUCAGAGCACAAUGGGUGAUGAUUUGAUGAGAAAUAUUAAUAUGCCUUCAUCCCCUGAAUUAGCUAGAGCUGGUUGUCAUUUUCUUCUUUCUUUUGGUACGGUUUUAGAUUUUUAAUCAAUCAGAUUCAGCUGCAUGUUUGCUUUUAGUCCAAACCAAAAUAAGAUAUUAAGUACUUUUGCCAGAAUAGACGCAACCAAAAUUCUAUGGGAUCUGUAGUUCCUAGUUCAUGCAGAAGCGACCGAAUGCUUCCUGCAACUCAGGCAGAUAGAACCUUGGUUGAUUCGUUUUUCUUCAUCUGAAAUUCUACCUAAUGCCUAUCCUCUUAAUUGGUUUAAAUUCUUCUUUUUUUUCUUUGAAUUGUUGAUUUAUAAUGUCUUGUAUGCAACAUUUAUAAUUUCGGAUGAUGAUAAUCUUGUUUAAGAAGAGAUUUCUAGUUACGGCAGCAGCGUUCUUGAUCAUGGCAUCACAAGCACGUGCUCUGGUUUGCUUAGUUUCCUUUUUGUCUCUGAUAUUUUCUUGGCAUUGUGGGAUAUUGUUUCUCUUUUGAUUUUCUGUUUUUGUUUGCUUAGUUUCCUUUUUAUGUCUGAUAUUUUCUUGGCAUUCUUGUUCUCUCUUAUAAUAAAGUGCUUUUGAUAAAUUCGCCUGGUCGGUUUACUUCACUAACCAUUAAUGAGCAAAUCCUCCCAGUGACUCUCAAACUCUUCUACACAAUUAUAAUAAUUUCAGUUUUACAUAUACAAAAAUGAACAGCUCUCAAACAUAUCAUUUGAUAAUGACAAAAACAAUAAUUCACUCCAAUAAAUCUCAUAAUAAAUACAUGAUCUACAUUGCAAGUCUUUUUAGGACGCAUUCAAAGAGAAAACAUAAGGAAUGGCAAUGCAAGAAUAUGGAAUCAGAAUAACAGUGAUACAAAGAGAAAAAAAAAGGGGAUGGUCGGGUUGGGUUGCUUGCAAAAUUAUUGGUGCGGGGGUCUACUUGUUUUUGUGUCACUUUAUUAAUUAAUUACCGAAGCAAACACGUCAUCAUUUGAAAAAGAAUCACUAGCACCAGCUUAUGAAAAAUAAAUUUGUAAGACAUAUUAAUUUGAAAAUAUUUUGGAAUUUCAGUCUAAGUUGAUUUGUCUAAUUAUGUAUGCACAAACUAGCUUGACCACUUCUUUCAUAUUGAUACCUAUAAAUUGCAACCUUAUUUUACGUUGAUGCACAAUCUAACUUAACAAAAAAAAUAUUCAAAUUGUCACAAAAUAUUUUCUUCUUAAUAUAUAUAUAUAUAUAUAUACAUACACACAGUAGUUAAUUUUCCUUAUUCUUCACUCCAGGAUCCAGCUGCAUACCCCUCUUUUUUGUCGUUAUGUUGCUCAACCGUUAGAUUUUAAUAACGUUAAUCUAACGGUUGAGAUUUGUAAAUGAAUAAUGAAGUGGUGUUUGGCUACUAUCUGAAAAUAUCGGCAGCCAUCGACGGCGAAUCUGAACAAAGGCAACAGGAGGUGAUCGUGGUGAAAUUGUUUUUUGGCAUGCGAAUCUAACGACUUUCAAAUACGUUCAUUCAAAUAUUAAAUGCAAUUCAGGCAAAUAGAAACUUGGUUGAUUGAUUGCUUUUCAUGUGAAAUUCUACCUAAGGGCUAUCCUUUUAAUGGUUUGUACUGUCUUAUAUGCAAAUUAAAUUCGGAAUUCGGGUGAUAAUAAUCUUGAUUUAGAACAGAUUAGGUAACAUGUGGCAUUCUACAUUCUUGCAAUGCCAUUUCUUUUUAUGGCAGCACCAUUUUUUAUCAUUGUUUGUGUGGACCUAUUUGCUGAAUUCAAAACUUGGCGUGUUAAAACGGCAUCGUUUUGUCCAUUAAGAUGUUUCAAGUUGUCCCCGGCUGGACAUAUGACUCACUUAAUGAUACCAAAACGGCGAGGCAUGAAGGUGUUUCGGCUAAGGGCUUAAGUUCUGCAUGUGACAAGCACGUGAGAGAAGAAUCAAGUUAGUUAUAAGUUGUUAUACACGUGGCUGGAUCUGGUGCAAUCUGGGGUAAUGAACAGCCGUUAUAUAAGCUGAGCUUUCAGGCAGUUUCAGCAAGAUGUAAAGAGCUUCUAGAGAGAAUGAAGAGAGAGAAAAUGUAUCAUCUUAUUCCUUGUUAGUUUCUCCGUGUGAGCUCUGUAAAAUACUUUGAUUCAUAAAUAAAACUCAUUUUAGUCGAUUCUCCCUUGGAUGUAUGUUCUGCCUCAUUGCACAGCCGAACCACGUAAACAGUGCUGGUUUCUUUUUUUUUCAUUUGUGUCUAUCACUAAAAAGCAGAGCACUUGCUUGAUUGAAUAAUGUCAUAUUACAUCACAUAAACUCUCUCAAUUAUUGAAAAAGAAAAUCGUAAAAGAGAUGUGUUGAAUUGAUAACUGAAAAAAUCUUAAAAAAUCUUCAAAGUUUUCAAUUAUUGAUAACUGAAAAUUAUUGAAAAAAAAAAUCUUAAAAGAGAUGUGUUGAAUUGUGAAAUUAAAACUGAGUUUCAGACAUUUCUGACAUGUCGGUUUAUAUUCUUGAUUGUGCAUGCCCUGUCGGUUGCUUGAUGAAACAGGAGAAUAUUGACAUCUGUGUAUUAUCGUUUACUUCCUGCAAUUAAAUCACAUGUUGUUCACGUGAUUCCAUUUGCUCUAUGCGGCACAUUUGGCAGUCGUUUAGGUCACUUACUGAAGCACGGGUUAAGUACUUGAUUCAAGGUUGUUAACUGACCUUUACAAGGCGGGAAAAACAAACCCGGAAUGCAGCUAGUGAGUGGGGGACUUUUCUAGACUCUUCAUGAUAUGUAUAUAUAGUCUUAGAGGCUAUAGUUGAGACAUAUGAAAAGCUUGUAACUUCUUCUUAAUGUUUGUAGUUUGAUCUCGGUGAUGGAGAUAAGAUUGCUGCCCUGUUCUCCAGGCCGAACCACUUAAAAUGUGCCUCUGUUUUGCUUGAUGACUACCAGUGGUGAGAAAACAGCUACAGAACAAAUCAAGCUUGAUGACUCAAAUAUUAGGGAAGCCAUAGUCAAGGCAUCUGGUUUAUGCAUCAACAGUGGUUCGUGGACUAGAAUUCUUAGCUAUUGCCGCUUCACAAUUGCACUGGAAGAAAGCGAAUUUGAUCGAGCUUUGGAUCGCAUAGCUAAAUUCAAAAGCAUCGUACAAAUAGUUAACUCAAAAACGGUAUUGUCAUUUGUCAUGAUUUAUUUCUAUUGCCUGAUGAUGAUACCCAUCACGCCUUAGUUGUCGUGAAUAAAUCUAAAAUCAAAUUGAACUGGCUUUUACUGGUUAGCAACAUUUGUGACGUUUUGAGAUUAUAAUAUAUGACAACACUGAUUAGUGUUGUCUCCCAUGUGAAUUGAGACAAAAAUUAUUUUCCCAAUUGCGCUUUCAUUUGAACAAUUCCACUGUAGAUUUAUAAAAUAAUGAUCAAAUUGUGUUUUAUAUUAAGUUACGAGUAAUUGGUUAAAUAUUAAUACAAAACUAUUUUAAGUAACAUGUGGCAUAUUCUAAUUCUAGCCAAGCUUCCAACUAAGAUUCCCAAAUCAAAAGAAUUUCAAUCUUCAGAACAUUCUGCAAAACGUUUAGUUUCUACGCAGUGCUAGAAUUUUCCCUAAGUUUCUAUCGCAAAGACUUCUAAAGAACUAUUCAGAUAUCGAGCUAUAAUCCAGUCUAAAGUGUAUAUAUCCCUCUAAUUCACCUCCCUCCAUUUCACCAGAAAAUCAACAAACACUUAGCUUCAAACAAACACUCUAAAAAAGCUAGCUAGCUAUUCAGAUGGCAAAACCAAGAAUUCUUGCAAUGACAAUGUUGUUUCUUGUUAUGGCAGCAACAUUGAUGAACAUGGCAUCGCAAGCAAACGCUCUGAUGUCGUACACACAAUCACCUUUCAGGGUUCUUGAACAAACCCCUUUAACAAUCGCAAAACGAGCUGAUCAUCAUCAAACUCUAGCCCCGGCGAGAACAGACUAGAUGGAGACACCAACAGCCCACGUGAUCACGCUCGACAUUCCAGGGAUGAAGAAAGAUAAUGUAAAGAUUGAAGUUGAAGAGAACAGAGUACUGAGAGUGAGUGGGGAGAGGAAGAGUAAUGAUUAUUACAAGGAGGGAGUUGAAGGAGAGAAAUGGCACAGAGCUGAGAGGACAUUUGGCAAGUUUUGGAGGCAGUUUAGGAUGCAUAUGAGUGCUGACUUGGAUCAUAUUAAGGCUCACAUGGAAAAUGGGAUUCUGAGGGUCACAGUGCCAACGCUUGCUGAGGAGAAGAAGAGGCAGCCUAAGGUUAUUAACAUUGAUGAAGAGUCUGGUAAUUCUUCCAAUGAAGAUAUUAAGGCUACCAAGGCUCAAAUGUAAUUGAUUAAAGAAAGAAGUGAUUGCUUUGCUUGAUGUGCUAUUUGUUUAUGAUCUUUUCUUGGUUUUGUUGUGAGAUGUUUCUAUUUGGAUGCUCUAUUUAAUGUAUUUUGAUGGGUUUUUGAGGAAGGCUUGUAUGUAUUGACAACAAUAAAGUGCUUUUUAUAAAUCCUAGUCCUCCAACACUAAAAGAAAUUAAUACGCUUGGUUUAUAGUUAAUAAAAAUAUAUAUAUUUUUAAAAAAAGUCUUUUUCUUUGGCAUAUAGUAUGCGUUUUGAGGGAAAAAAAAUUAUCCCACUCCUAAUUCGUCCUCUUCUGCGAUAUUAAUGUGUUAACACGAAGAUUCAUUGUAAUUGCAACAAUUUUGACGAAUCCAAACGUUCAAUAACUGUUAAAUUGUAUUUAUAAAUACUAAUAGCGAAGGUACAGAAACGAUUAAUUCACGAAGUUGCUUAAAGUGCAUUAAAUUAGAGAGUAUAAAUAAUUGUGUGAUACAGUCCAGCCUUCAUCUGCUUAUAAUUAGCAACCAAAAACCACUUUGCAACACCAUUAAAAAAACAUUUUAACAUUAUUGCUGAGGGAAGAGGCAGCUUAGGCUUAUUAACUCGUAUUAUUAAUGCUGAUGACGCAGCUGGUAAUCCUUUUGGUGAAUAUAUUAAGGCAGCUGAAGCUUAAAAUUAAUUAAGCCCACUAAAGCUUAAAACUAAUUCUUCUGGUGACGAUACUUUGCUUAGUUCGCUUUUUGUUUUUAAUUUUUUUGGGGCUAACGUUUUGCUUAUUUUGCUUUUAAAAUUCUAUUCGCGUUGCUGUGGAAUAUUGUUUCUCCUUCGAUUUUCUGUUUUUGUUGUUAUCGGAUUUGAUGAUGGUUUAUAUGUACGAAGAUUAUGUAAUAAAGUGCUUUUGUAAAAAUACUAAGGUAAUAUACAUUACACAUUUGUACUCAAUAAGAAAUCAAUUCAUUAAUAUAAGCAUUAAUACCCCUGGUUUAUUGUUAAUGAAAAUUAAAAAAGAAAAAAAAAAGUCUUUUUCUUUGGCCUUUAUUAUGGAUUUUAAGAGGAAAAAAAUUUAUCCCACUCCAAUUCAUGAAGAUAUUCUCUUUUCUGUCAUAAAGAUCCAUUGCAGUUGGUGAAUUCAAAUAUUCAGUAACUGAUGAAAUUGUAUUUAUAAAUUCAUACUAAUAGCAAUUGAAGAUUAUAAUUAAUUUUGUAAUAUGAUCUAGCCCUCGUGUGUUUAAUUAGCACUCAAAAACCACUUUACAUAAAUGAGGUUUCAACAGCUGAGAAAGAGAUAGCCAUUAUACAUUACACAUUUGCACUUAAUAAGAAAUCAAUUCAUUAAUAUAGCCAUUAAUACGCCUGGUUUAUUGUUAAUGAAAAUUAAAAGAGAAAAAAAAAGGUCUUUUUCUUUGGCCUUUAUUAUGCAUUUUAAGAGGAAAAAAAUUUAUCCCACUCCAAUUCAUGAAGAUAUUCUCGUUUCUGUCAUAUUGAUGUGUUAAUAUGAAGAUCCAUUGCAGUUGGUGAAUUCAAAUAUUCAGUAACUGAUGAAAUGGUAUUUAUUUAUAAAUUCAUACUAAUAGCGAUUGAAGAUUAUAAUUAAUUUUGUAAUAUGGUCAAGCCCUCGUGUGUUUAAUUAGCACUCAAAAACCGCAUUACAAUAGGCAUUAAAAGAACAUUAUAACGUCAUUGCUGAUGAGUUCUGGUGAAGAUAUUAAGUUAAGGCCACAAAAAUCGAAAUGUACGUAGCUUCGUUUGUUUUUUGUUUUUGAUUUUUUUUGGGGGGCAAAUGCUUGGCUUCGUUUGCUUUUUCGUUUUUGAUAUUUUAUUGGCUUUAUUGUGUGGCAUGUUCUUGUUUUCUUUUGAUUUUCUGUUUUGGUUGUUAUGGGAUUUGAUGACGAUGUACAUGUACAAAGAUUAUGUAAUAAAAUGCUUUUGAUAAAUUGUGGAACAAAAGAAGAACACUAACGAACUAAUUAAUUACUAAUAAGAACAUUAACAAUUUUUGCCGAAGUCUGAUGAAGAGAAAUAUUACACAUAAGUAACGGUACCGCGGAAGGAAAAAAUAAAAGAAACUAAAGUUUAUUUCAACAGCUAAGAAUGAAAUAGGCAUAAGAAAUUAACCCAUCAAUUAAUUAAUUAAUACAGUCCCCUGCUACUAAAUAAUGCGAGCCCCUUACUGUACUUAACAUUUUUCUUUUUAAUAAUUUAAAACAGUUUUCAACUGAGAUUUGAAUUUUAAAACUACAUACACAAAUACACCUGAUUUUAAAGAAAAAAAAUUUCUAAUAAUAAAAUAUUUUACAUAUAUAACCAUAUGGCGAAAAAAUAAAUAUAAGAAACUGAAGUUUCAACAACUGAGAAUGAGAUAGGCAUAAGAAAUUAAUUCAUUAAUUAAUUAAUAGAGUCCUCCUUUGCUAAGCUAAAUAAUGCGAGCCCAUUGUUCUUUUUAUUUCGAAAACCCAUUAAUCACCAACACAUAAUACACGCCCAACUUUUUUUUUAAAAAAAACCUAAUAAUAAAAUAUUUCAGUCGUCCUCUGUUGAGUCGUCCUCUGUUGAGUCGUCAUAAAAAACCCAUUUACCAGCUAUGACAGCAAGAGGAAUAUGGGUUAACAAGUCCCAAUAUUGUCCUCCAUCCUUUCUGCACUUCUUUUCUAUCAACGGACAAUCCACGAUUCUUAAUUGCAAAAGUGAGGAAGGCAGGCCCUUCUCCGGAAAGUAUUUGAGCUUGGGACAAUGAUAGAGACCCAAGUGAGUGAGGUUUUGAAGAUCAACAAUUGAAGAAGAUAGGCGUUCCAGAUUUGGAAAAUUGUAAAUCCACAGAGAUGUUAGAGAGGCAGGAAGAGGAAGCGCGGUCCCUAAUCUUUUGUCCUCUAGUGGAAAUGACACCAUGUCGUCAUCGCAUCCUAUGAUUUCAAGAUGUCGCAGACAGGAGAAUCUGUGAAAUCCCCGGCCCCGCUCAAUCAUUGACUUCCAAAUCUCCAUAUUACCCUCAAUCCAAAGUGAAUGAAGGUUGAUGGGAAGGCCAUCUUCUUCUUCAAGGCUUGGAAGCUCACCUCCUUUUCCUAUUGUUAAUUGUUGAAGAGAGGUCAGAUUGUGCAAUCCCUUGGGUAAGGCCUCUAGUCUCUUACAAUCAAGUAUCGUCAGCCUCGUGAGUUUCGCACAAGGGAAUGCCCCUUGGGGAAAGGACACUAGAUUUCCACAAUACGCUAUGCUAAUCUCUUGAAGCUGGCGGAGAUUAUGUAAACCACUCGGUAAAAUUUUCAGAUUUCCACAAUUAGAAAUGUCGAUUGUUUCAAGAGAUGUGUUGUUGUCCAACCUUUCUGCUAUUGACUCCAGCUUUGAACAUCCGCGAACAGAAAGGGACUUAAGAGACGGAGGUAGAUUGCCAACUUCAAGGGACUCAAGCGUGGCAGGUAACUCAUUUUUUGAAAAUAUACAUGUCAGUGAUGGACAGCUGUUAAUACGCAACUGCUCAAGAAGAGAUGAGGUGUACCUUCUAUUGCUGCUGCUGCUGCUACACUGGAUGCCCUCUUCCACUGUCAAAGUCCUUAUAUUACUGCAAUUGUUAAUCACCAACUGCUUAAGGCUCGGUGGUAGCUGGACUCCAGCAAUAUAUGUCAACGAAUGGCAAAAGCAAAUCUCCAAGAUCUCGAGAGAUGAAUUGGUGUCGCACAUCCAUGCCUCUGGUAAUGAUUUCAGUGCAUCACAUUCCCUAAUCUCAAUUGUCUUCAACUUGGAAGGCAGAGCAACCUCAGGAAAGGAAACAAGGGAACUGCACUUGUAGAUUUCUAUCUCUCUCAAGGAACUGAGACUGAGAGAUGAUUGUGGCAGCUUCACAAGGCCUUCGCAAUAUCUCAAUCUUAGAUAUUCGAGUCUGCAUGACAACUCGCAGAGCUGCUGUUGUUGGCCUUUCUCUUCCUCCGCCACCAAGGAUUGAAGUUUGGGACACCGUCUAAUCGUCAGUCUUCUGAGAGAGCAAAUGUCUUGCAGUAAUUCGUUAUGACUCUUCCAUAUAUAUGUCUGCUCUUUCAUUUCAUUUAUCUUCAAUUCUUCCAAUUUUGGUAGUCGCGGCUUUAAUGGCCCUGCGAGAAACACUUGAUUUGAUCUAUCUCUACAAACCACUGAAUUCUGUGAGCCGAGAUGAUCAGUUGCACUUCUCCACACAACCUUUUUACAUCCACCACUCUGUAAUUUGCAAAGAGCUGGAAGACUCGAAACUGAAACUGACAAUUCUUCACAUCCUUUAAUAACAAGCUUCUCCAAUGCAGGAAGGCGUUCUGGAAAUGUUCCUUGCAGCUUAGAACAUCUUAAAAUGUGAAGCUCUCUCAAUUUAGGAAACCGUUCAACUCCCUGACUGGAUCCAUGAGGAAUCCAGUCUUCCCAUCCUUGCAUGUCUUCAAAAUGAAGAGUCUCCAAGCAUGGAAAAGGAAUUGGAGUAUCAUUCCCAUAGAACUCUGAACCCAACCUCUUUACACUAGUCAUUCCACAUACUGCAAGAUGCUUUAGAGAGGGUAGUUGCCCGACUGACGGCAGGGUAGGACACAUGCCACAAUAUUCAAAUUUUAAGGUCACCAACUUUGAGAAUGAGGAAUCUCCGAACCAAGUUGGAAAUUUUGCACCUCUAUAGCCGCUGAUACAAAAUUGUUCCAAAUUUUUAUUGGGUUCUAGCAUGUCAAGCACGUCCUUUUCAAUUUCCGCCUCCCUUGAAGACGAGCCAUCGGUACUGAGUGUCCAUCGAAGCAAUAAUUCUCUAAGAUUCUUCUUUCCAUCCAAUUGAGCCUCCUUUGCAUCACCAACGUCUUUUACAUUCUCCAAUUUUGAAAUGUUAAGUGUCCCAUGAAGGUGCGUCAACAACUUUAGCUCUCGUAACCCGGAACCACUGCCUUUUCCCACAACAAAAUUACACAACGUCUGAAGACUAGUCAACCUACCAAUUCCUACUGGCAUUUCCUCCAACGACUUCGUAUUUGAAUUCUUAAGAUGAUGCAAUUUGGCGAGGUUUCCCAUGUCUGCACACAACUUCUUCAGCCGAUCACAAUCUUCCAACAAAAGACUAUGCAAAUUGUAAAGCUUGUUGACUGAUUCAGGCAGAGUUCUAAUCUCAGUUGUAGACAGGUUAAGGUACCUUAAAUACCUCAAAUCACCAAUUGAAUCCGGCAGCUCAGGGAUGCAGUAUCCACGCAAAGAGAAGACCCUCAAGCGUCGGAGUUUGAGCAACUUAGGAAGAAUGCUAGGAGCCAAGAAGCCAGGCGAACUUUUUGUCAACAUUACUGGUAAAAAAGUUCUCAAAUGCUGGAUAUCAUACAAGUCCCCAAACCUUUUACCGCCAUCAAAAUAUUCAGGAAUGUAUGAUAGAUGACGAAGAUUUUCGGAAAAACUUUGCUGCUUGUAAAUUUCUGAGGUAUACUCCAUUGUGAAGUAUAUCUCCCCCGCAGCCCAACGGGCAAGGUCAUUGAUAAGAUCGUGCAUCACAAAUCGUGAUGUAUUGUUGCUUAAUUGCUGGAAAAAAGAUCUUGAACGUAGCUCUUGAAAGAACUUUCGACCUAGAACUUCGUUAGGAUUCCCACUCUCUUUAUGAACCAAGAAACCCGAAGCACUCCAUAAUAAAAUUAUCUCCUCCUCUUCAAAUUCAUAAUCCUUCGGAAACAACGAGCAGUAUGCAAAGCAUUGUUUCAAAAUUGGAGGAAGAUAAUAAUAGCUCACUGCAAGAGCUGGUAUAAUGGGACAUCUAUCUUCUGGUAAUUCCCAUAUCUUGCUACUGAGCACAUCUUCCCACACACCUCUGUCAUGUUCUCCACAUAAAAGUCCUCCCAGUGUUUUUGCUGCCAAGGGAAAGCCAUUGCAUUUGAUCACUAUCUUCUUACCAAUGUCCUCCAAUGACUUGUGUGAACUGAAAUCUCUUGUCCCCAAAGAGUGCUGAGCAAACACAGACAGACAAUCCUCAGUUGACAAGUUUUUCAAUUCAUAAGCUUGAUCCGGCCUCAUGAUUUUUGCAACCUGUUGAUUGCGAGUAGUGACAACAAUCUUACUUCCCUGUGCGCCAGCUUCAAACGGACGGCUCAUGUCAACCCAGUCAUUGUAAUUCUCAUUCCAAACGUCGUCUAAAACGAGCAAAAAUUUCUUUUGAGAUAACUUCUUCUUCAGCUCCUCUUGAAGCAAAUUUAAAUCACUGUCAUCAAUAGUCUGCUUGGUAAUGGAUCUUAGAAUUUUUUUUGUUAGCCCCUUAACGUCGAAAUCCUCAGAGACACAAGUCCAUGCCUUGAGAUCAAAAUGAUCCUGCACUCGCUUAUCAUUGUAGACAAGCUGAGCAAGAGUGGUUUUGCCCAGGCCGCCCAUACCUAUAAUAGGAAUAACAGAGAAUCCACCAUCGUUGCUUAAAUCAUCCCUCAACAGCAGUUCAACAACAUCCUUCUUUUCUGUUUCCCUGCCAUAUACUUUGGCUUCAGUCACUAAAGAGGUUGUCUCCAGCCUUUGACUGGCUUUGUUGGACCCUCCAGCUGAACUUUCUUUCAAAUCUAGCAAGUUUUUCUGUGUCACAAUUUCUUGAAAUCUGCUGUUGAUCUCUUUGAUUUUGGACAUCAAGCCAUAAUCGAACUGAAUCGAUUGUGGAGUAAAAGUGGUGCAGCAAGCAGGAAUGAGCUUCCGAAACUUACUUGUUCUGGCACGACUGCUACUGGGUUGAUCAUGAGCAGCAGCUGGUUCUCCAUUUCCAAGCAGCAACAUCCUCCGGAAAGCCUCAGUUUGAAACUCAUCCAACAAGUCUUCAACAUCAUAAGCCAAGUUCUGAAGCUUGCCAAGCCACUUCUUCACAGACCGAUUAGUUGUCUUCUUCUCCUCAGCAUCAUCAAGCACCGCCUUGAUCAUCUCCAACAUAUUCUCCCACUUCAUUAGAUAGUCUUGGAUCUUCUCUUGGCGUGCAAAAAACAGAAUCCCCUCUGAAGCUAACUUAUUGACCAGCAAAUCAACAGAUGCCGUAAGGAUUGCCUCUCCGAUGAUCGACAUUUUUUUUCUUUUUUUUGGGCAAAGGAAGAAAGGAGCAGAAUUAUGGGUUAUGGAAAGCAGAAUGAGAAUAUUGAACGGGUGAGAAAAUGGAUAAUUAAGCGGAAUGAGUUUGUGAUUGUGAAGGGUCUGGUACAGCAAGCUUAGUAGAAAUCACGCGUUUGUACUUUAUUGACCAAUGACUAAAUAAUUUGGCAAUGCACCCACCACCACCACUUGGUGAGCAAAAUGAAAAAGUUUAAUAAGUGGAGGGGUCCAGCAAAAUACGACGUAAAAUGUGGCAAGUCUCCCCACUUGUUGUUCGUUGCAGCUAAGAAAAGAAAAAACAGAGCCCACCACCCAUUAAUAAUUUAGCAAAUCACCAAUCAUCACAAAAUUCCAUUAGAUAUUCGUCGAUCAAGUAGUUAAUCCAGUGUCUGCUACGUAGAGCCUUCACUUUACAAAUCUUCAACUCAUAAACCAAGUUAAAUCAAGACGUUUCUCUCUCUGUAUAUAUAUUUUUUAACUCCUAAAACGUUUCUUUUUAGAAAUAUUUUACUUUAUUCAUCUAAUAUGUUAUCUAACAAAUAGACACAGAUGAAAUCACUCUAAAGUGAAGAUGAAAGGGGAAAAAAAAAACAUUCAACCACCAAUAAUUUAGCAAGCUUCACUUUUAUUCCACCAAAGUGUAAAUAAAGCCAGCCCCCACCACCAUCGAUAAUUUUGCAAGCUUCACACGCUUGUUGUCUUCUCCUUGACGAACUGGACGGGGUGGACCAAGAAUCAAUGAAAGAAUUUUAAAAAUAAUAAUAAAAGAAAAACAUAAACAUUUUGGACUCAGAGUAGAACCGUAAUUAAUGCUAAAAUUUACUCCGCUAACGUUUUCAAAAUAUUGUUCUUUACAAUUGUACAGCAAAUAAGACUAAGUUUUGGACAUUUUCGUAUUCACUUACUUUCAAAAGCAGUAUUUCGAAACAUUUUACAGAAUCAAGUAACAGUUAUAUAACGAGAAAAGUGCAAAGUUGUGUAAUUCAGAUCAUUUUUUAUUUGGGUCGCCAACUCGCCAAUGAACCCAUGAUUGAAUGAGUGUUUAGAAAGAAAAUCAAUAAAAAACAGUUUUUUUUUUGUCGUUGAAAUAUAGUAAGUGAGAAAGAUUAUUCUGUUUUUUUUGUUAAUUAGGUUAGUAAUUAUGAUUGAGUGACUCAGAACUAUAUUCUAGAUUGAGAAUCAAUGGUUCUCCCACACUGAGAGGCUGUAAGUUUAAGAUUGUCGUUUGCUAUUUCAUCAACAAGAGAACACUUGAAUUUAUUAAAAAGAGAAGGCCAUAAAAGUUUUCUUUUAUGAGAAAUGUAUCUGAUCAUUCCUUUUUACUUGAAAAUUUCAUAUAUAAAAACUCAUUAAUAAAUGACAGAAUAUACAUAAAUUAUUAAUUCAUUUGAUAGUUGAUUAUCGAAGGACAUGUGACCCAUGGGAGCAUGCAGACUAUAAAAUAAUUCUUUUUUUUAUUAAACAAAAAAUCGGUGAUGUUGAAAAGCAAUAUUAAUUCGACUGAUAAUUGGGGUGAACAUUCAUAAAAAGAAUGCCGUAUGAAACUAAAUUAUUAAUUCGUUUGACAUGUGACCCACAAUAAAUAGUUAAAUUUGGCGGCAACAAUAAUUACAAGACGAACUUAAAGCAGCGCAUAGGUUUUUCUUAAAAAUACAUAAACAAUUCGAUAUUUGAAAUUCUAAUAUCUCAAUAAUAUUGAUCAUGAUUCAGUUACCAAUUAGAUCCACUUACAAUUUCUUUUUUUCUUUUUUCUGGUUUCCAAUCUUUACCUAAAGAAAAUAUUUAGUGAUCCCUUUUAUCAACUUGGUUUUAUUGACUUUCUUCCAAUCAUAGAAGUGAAAAGAGAAACAGAGGCCAGCACCAAUCAGUGUUACCAGAUUCUGUAAAGGCAAAAUCAGUGCCCAGCAAAAAGAAGCUAUGUUUUCGUUAUAUGCUGCUUCCUAUUUAGUACAUGCAUAUAAAGAUAUACACGUGCACAUGCAGUACAUCUAUCUAAAAUUUAAAAAACGGAAUUAGAAAUACAGGAUUAAUGGUAGAAAUACAACAGGAAUAAAAGUGAAAUAAGCAGAAUGAGUUUGUGAUUCUGUCUAGCAAGCCUAGAAAUCAAGCAAAACCCACCAUAAAAGCGAAAAGCAAAACGGAGCCCACCACAAAUAUAAAAUCAGAGGAGCACAGAAUUUAAAAAAAAAACAAAAGAAAAGAAAAAGCCAAGCCAAGAAUCAUAUGCCUUUGCUUUACAUAUUAAAUUAACAUAAAAGCCAAGCGAGGAAUCCUGCCUUUGCUUGAUAUUUGACAAGAUUAAUUGGACAUUACACAUUAUUUCACAGAGAAUAAAACUUGUAUAGAACCAAACCCAUCAAACCCUUUCUUUAUCUUAAAUGUCAGAAAUAUAAUUAGCUUGGAAUAAAGCUAUACUCUUCUCCCUUUUCCAUUGCUACAGGUUCAUAUAGGCAUAUCAUAUGGAUUUUGUUUUAUGCUAGGUAAUUAUUAAUUUAUAUAAUAAUAUAUUUCCCUCAAAAUAUACUACUUGAAUUUGAAAUAAUUUUUUAAAAUAAUUUAAUAUCACAAUAAUAGUCAUGAUUCAAUUCGGUUUAGUUUAAUUUUUUUAGAGAAAAAAUUUGAGAAAAUAGACAAAUAAUGAAGACGCAAUUGAAGCACAACCAAUAAACAGGGUAAAGUGAAUUGCGUCCUGUCCUUGAGCACUCAAUUCUCUUCAAUCUCAAAUUUAUACGUACAUUUUUGUAAAUUCAUGUCAUAUACUAGAGUCUUUUGGGUUCUGUUAUAUCAAUUGUUUCGUGUUUAUCUUGUUUUAUUAAUUUAUGGAGCAAGAUUGCUAGUAGCGAUAAACCUGGAAUAAAACGAUUUAUUUAUUUUAUAUAUAUUUUGCGUUGUUAUCAGCAAAAAAUAUGAUGGGUUUCGUUUGUAACAACUAGCUAAUUGCUUAAUACAUUUUUGUACUUCUCGUCGUGAAGUCACGAGGAACUUGUAAAUAAGAUCAUAGACGUGGUACGAUGUGACGUGAUAAAUUUAAAUCAAAUCUAAACUAAGAUGGUUCAUAUAUAGUUAAAUCAAAUCUAAACUAAGAUGGUUCAUAUAUAGUUACAUACUGAAUAAAGAUAUUUAAACAUAAGCAUUCAAUUUUAUGAUAUACCUAAUAGUCAUUGGCUUAUAGUUAUUAAAGGAACUGAAUAGAAAUAGACGAAGAAAGUGAAAAAGAUGAAUUAGCGCACAUGAUGAUUUCUCAGAUAAAAAGUUAAAUUUAUAUUCUUUUUUUUAAUAAGUGUGAGAUGAUUUACACCCUAAAAUUUAUUUUGAGCACUCAUAUUUUUAUUACAAAAAACCCUAUAAUUCAAUUUACUGGUAUGGACAAUUCAAUAAAAGUAAAUAGAACAAUAAUACUUUCGACACCAUCAGGCUAUAGCGCGCACGCACGCACCCACAUAAAAAUGAUACAAAUUUAAAAGCAUAUUUAACAAGUUGGCUAUAGGCAACAAUAAUACUUUCGACACCAUCAGGCUAUAGCGCGCGCGCACCCACAUAAAAGUGCUUAAUACAGUGAAAUUAACGUUCAGCUCACGAAGUCGCCAUUAUAUUUAUUGAAAAAGAGAUUAGUACAAGACAUUGAAAAUUAAUUGACAUUGGAUUAGUUGUUAAUUAUGAUCUUGGUCUUUUAAUUAUCAUCUAGCCAACACAGGUCCACUAGUUUCAUUUGUGUCAAUCACUGAAAAGUAGAGCUUGAUUGAACAGCGCAUAUUACAUCACAUAAACUCACUCAAUUUUCAUUGCCAUACGUGUAGCUCAAAAGUACAUAUUAUAUCAGUGAACAUGGAACAUUCAGCUAACCUACACUAAUUAAUACAUACGACCAUCAGUUAAUAGUACCCAGCAACAUCCAUCCAUUAGAGUGGAACUCCCAGUGAUUUCGUACGUACAAAAGACAAUAUUUGACAAUCACAAAAACAAAAACAAUUUACUCCAAUAAACAACAUAACAAAUACAUGGUUGAUAUUGCAAGUUUUUUUUUUAUGAUUUUAGUUAAAACAGAAAGUAUGAAGGACAUAUUUAUAUAUAAUAGAAUGUUAUAUAUAAUGUUAUCCUUGAUAAUUAGAUAAAAUAAGACUAAUCUACCUAACUAAUCCAAUCAUCAUACUAAUCCAAUUUUCAAUAUUUAAUUAUGUCCAGUCACGCUAAUUUAAUAAAGAACACUGAACACUUGAAUAUUUAUAUAUUCAACAACAUUGGCCAUGGUUGAAAAAGACCAUAGCUGCAUCUAUGCUUUGUGUUGUAAAUUAGGACAUGAUCAUAUAAAUAUUGAUUGUUUCAAAUUAGAUUAUACAAAGAUGAAAAAAUGCUAAUCUAGAAAAUUCAAUCAUAAUAAUUUGAUUUCCAUUAUAUUAAUUAUGUUCAAUCAAGCUAGUUUAAUAAAGAACACUCGAGCAUUUAUAUAUACUCAACUUAUGAAAUUUAAUUACAAAACAAUCUUUAACAAAGUCUGAUGAAAAGAUCAUAUUAUAGGUACAAAGUUAGACUUCCCAAUCAAGCAACUAUCCAUCAAAUUGUGUGUUGUGUUACCGUUGAGCUCUUAUGUUAAUUACGGCCAGACCGCGCUUUGGCUAACAGUGAGACAUAUGCGGACAUAAGAUCUGCAAAUGAGGUGCUGCGAACGAGCGAUGUACUGUUUUUAUGCGACAUGCUAUGUACUCUGUUUUUAUGGUCUUUCUUUUUGUGGUUGUUGGACUAACUGUAAUGUGAAUUUCUAUCUAAUGAACAUCCUAAUCCUUUGAGUUAUUUUGGGAUUGUUGAUUUAUAUAUAAUGUUUAGUAUCCAAAAUUCAGAUGAUGAUAAUCUUCGCAGUAGUUUUGUCAAGUUUUCUUUUGUGUUGGUUUUGGUAUUUUAAUUUUGUACGUACCUAAUGUUAAGGUCAAUAGGGACCUAAUUUAAAAACUAUUAUAAUUUUACAUAUAUAGAUACAAAUUCAUGUUUAAGAAUCCUUUUAAUCAACCAUUCCAGUGUUUUAUAUUGAGUAAUUGGUUCAAUAUUAAUACAAACUAUUUUAAGUAACAUGUGGCAAAUUCUAGUGAGCUCCAACUCCGACGAUCGAUUUAUUUUUUUCUUUUUUUUAGGACAAAGAAAGAAACCAAAUUACGAGCUUGUGAAAAGCAGAAUGAGAAAAGUGAGUAAGCAGAGUUUGUGAUUGUGUCUAGUAAGCCUAGAAAUCAAGCAAAACCCACUAUAAAUAUAAAAUCAGAGGAGCACAGAAAUUCUAAGGAAAAAAAAAAGGAAAAAGCCAAGCCAAGAAUCAUAUGCCUUUGCUUUACAUAUUAAAUUAAAAUAAAAGCCAAGCCUGGAAUCCUGCCUUUGCUUGAUAUUUGACAAGAUUAAUUGGACAUUACACAGAGAAUAAAACUUGUAAAGAACCAAACCCAUCAAACCCUUUCUUUAUCUUAAAUGUCAGGAAUAUAAUUAGCUUGGAAUACAGUUAUACUCUUCUCCUUUCUCCAUUGGUACAGGUUAAUCUCAACUGUUUGAAGAGAGUCUAUCAAUUCUUCUUAGCUAAGAAUAUAAAAAAUGUAUAAACUUAACAGCUAAUGACAUAAUUAACAUAACACAAUUAUUACACUAAAUGAAAGAAAAGAAUUUAACAAGCUUCCGCACAGUCUUGUUUCAGGCUGGACAUUGGUGAAUUGACCAAAAGAUCAAUAAAAGAAUCUCAAAAAACCAAAUGGAAAUGGGACUAAUUUUCAGAUUUUUUCAAAUUACACUUAUUUACAAAAGCAAUACAAAAUGAUUUCCUUUUCAAAUUACACAUAUUUACUAAUAGUGGUGAUUAAUUUAUUUAGCUUGUCAUAGUUUUCAAUUAAGAAUGAAGUUCAAUCAAUUUAUUUGGGGGGGGCGGGGGGGGGCAAAGAUAUUUUUUAUUUUUUUGGGGCAAAAAAAAACAUAAUUUUAUUUUUUUUUCUUUUAGAUUUUAAUUCCUAGGAUCUAAUUUCACUAUGUUUCGAUUAUUGAUGUUGCUGAAGAGGGCAGUACAAGCUUGCUGAAAGUCAUCAAAUGCUUGCAUCUCAUCUCACAAAUUGGGCAAAUAUCGGUUGGUUUCUCUACGGUUUGCCAUCAUGAAUUGAAAGUGACAACAACCACCAACUUAAAAAUAAUUUCAAGUAUCUUUUUUACUUGAAAUCCUUGAAAAGAAAAAUUAAUCAGAUUGAAUUAUACAUAUAUGUUUGAGGGAAAGAUAGGAAAGGUAAUAGAGCGCCACGUGUCUGCCAAUGGAAUGAUAUCAGCACAAUCGGAGGUACCCUGCAUAAUCCGAGGUGCCCGACAUGACUUGAGGUACCCCGUAUAAAUAGAGGUACCCUGCACAAUUAGAGGUAUCCCACACAAAUAGAGGUACCCCAUACAAAUAGAGGUACCCCAUACAGAUAGGGGUACCCUGUGUAAUAGGGGUACCCUGCGUAAUAGGGGGUACCCCAUGUAAUUCGAGGUACCAGGCAAAGCGGAUGCAAGAGAAUCCACCGAAAAUACCCGCCAUGAGAAACGUCUCCGCCUCCUAAAAGAUAUCAUUUGAUUUUUUCAGAAUUAGGAAUCAAAAGCGACGUGCUAAAAGGAGGGACAGCCGCCUGCUACCUCUGCCAAAAGUGAAGGACACUGUCCCAAGGACAGUGGUCCCUAGCCGCCUACCUGACAGCUACUGCAGAGGUACCCUGGACCACUCUCCAGCGCGCGCCACGUUUCCAAAAGAUGAGAUACGCCGCGAAUAUGCAAAUAACGGCCCAAAAAUAAUUAUAAAGAGGUAAAAGGACGUUAGCCAAAAAGGGUACGCCACGUGGCAGCUGAGGUACUCCAUAUAUAAAGGUGCCUAGAUUUCAUUCUCCAGGAUGCUCUCAUUCGCCCAAAAAUACUCACACUCCAAAAAAGAGGUUUUCUUCAACCUUAAACCCUAAUUUACAGAGGGCUAGCUAGCUCUCUUUGCCAUAAAAGCUUGAGUUUGCUAACUUGAGCGUCGGAGUGUGAACGCCGAGGUACCCCGGCUUCACCUCUAACCUCCAUUUCACUGUUUUGCAGGCGUGAAGCUCAUUUUGAAGGACACCUCUCUUGUUUCUGACCUUCCACCAUUGUUACCACUCUCUCUCCCCUUCUCACCUCCCACGAAUUUCAGAUACACCGCACCGCGCACAACAAACCAGUGAGGUACCCCAUCUCCCCUCAAAAUAACAAAUUUAUUGUUCUAGAUUGGUUUGGUUUUUCUUACCCCAAAAUCAGUUGAAAACAAUAUACAUAAAUUCGAUACCAGUUGAAAAUGUGAGUAUGAUUAAUUAAUAAGAGAGAACAAGAAUUGAUCAUGUCCCAAAACAGAGAAAACUAGAUUGUGCAAACUUGCGUGCGCAUAUCAUAUGUUAAUCUUAAUAUUUUGUUGCUGAAAAUUAAUUAAUUAGUUCCACUACUCCCUUUCUUAAUUUUGUGUUAUGUACCCCAUUGGCAACUUCUGAAAUAUGUUGCAUAUUUGUUAAUUCAAAGAAAUAGAACUUUUGUAUCAAUCAGACUUUACUUUAUUAACAUUCUUCAUCAUUAUGAUUAAUGGCUUAGCAAAUGUAGGAGGAGGGUCAGCCAAAAUAAAUAAAGUACUUUCUCAUGCAUUAACCUUUAUUAAAAGGCCUUAUUAAUUGUUGCAGUUAAAAAAAAAANNNNNNNNNNNNNNNNNNNNNNNNNNNNNNNNNNNNNNNNNNNNNNNNNNNNNNNNNNNNNNNNNNNNNNNNNNNNNNNNNNNNNNNNNNNNNNNNNNNNUACUCUAUUUUUUUGUCGUUAUUCAGCCGAGCCGUUAGAUUUUACUUACGUUGAUCUAACAGUUGGGAUUUGUAAAUGAAUAACGAAGUGGCGUUUGGCUACCGUCUGAACCCACAACGUCUAGUUGGUUUUGUGAUUUUUUACUAUCUUCUCUGUAACGCUUGACUAGUUCUGGAAUUGUCGACCGCUAUCGACAGCAAAUCUGAAGCAUGCAUUAUUUUUGGGCAUCGAUUUUUCUUCUUUGAAUCUGAUAUUCAUUUCUUUUCUGUGGCAAUAAUAUCAUAAACUAAUAUUUCCUAUUUUAUUACGAAGGUUUAAAGUUCACCUUUCACACUAAUGUCAUUCAGUUCUUGAAUUCUUGAUAGGUUAAAGUUUUUGUGAAGCGCUAAUCAAAUAUGUCAUACAUCAAAAUGCAGGUCUUGCAUUUCAAUCGUUGAAUACUGCCCCUUCUCUUACUAAUUUUCAAAUUCGUACUAUCUUAUAAUUGGAUCAUCGAUAUUUUAAGCGCCAGACCUUAAUAAAACUAAAAUUGUCCUUAAUAUUAAUAAUAUUAAUCACUUAUAUAAUAUUGGCUUAAAUUUUUUAGUAGAUAAUUAAAUUAACUUUUACUAAUUUACUAACAACCCCUUAAAUUAAUUAUGUAGUUCGCGACCUAUUUUCCUCAUAAAUAAGAGUAGAUGAUUAAAGCCUCCUUUAGUCGAUGGGCCAUAAUCAUUUGAAAUUUGCGUUGCUUUUUCUAUGUAGGACUAAGAGAUGUACCUCAAUUCUUUUGAACGCAUGUAAAGUAAAUUCAUAAGCUUCGAAGAAGUAAAUUAGUCAAACUAAUCAAAACAUCCAUUAAGCUGGUCAGAGGAUCAGACCGCUCUCUAUCCACCCUUAUCACCGCCUGGUCCAAACUCAUUUUUCUUUGAAAAUAGACAAAUAAUAAAGCCACUACAAGUUAAGCAGAUCAAAUAAACAGAGGAAAUAGCUGAUCAAUUCUUUGUGCAAUGGCCACAGCAACAACAAAAAUAUGUCUACAUGACUACAUUAAUCCGACUGGCGUGGUACCAUCGCCAUGCAGCAUUACAGCAACAUUUGAUCAUCUAUCAAUUUUCAUGAUAUGAGAUUAGAAACAUUGAGUUUAUAAUUUUAUGUAAUUUCAUAGAAAAGAUAUAAUUGAUUUGAGUUAGUUUAACAUAUAAGGAAGGAGUAAUGAGGAAUGAUAUCGCUGUGGCAUGUGCUGAGUAAAGAUAGACAACAAAUAUUGAUCAUGUAAUAGUGAAAUAUGUAUUUAUAGAAAAAUAUUUGGCAAUAAAAUGAUGCUAUAAGAAUUUAAUAUUAGUUGCAAGAAAAUAAAUUGACAAUUAAAUUAAUAGAUAUAUAUGCAAUGCUUCGAGUUUAUCUUAUCAAUUUGAUAACCAUUUUGUAACUACAUAUUAAUUAGAAGUUCAAUUAAUUUUGACCAAAGACUCCAGAGAAUGUGGAGAAGAGAUUUGAUUUUGGUAUUAAUAAAAAUAGAAAUGAAAUAAGUCAAAAACAAUUACAAGAACAACAAUAAAAGCAUAUUUUAUAAAAGCCACAAAUACAUAAUAUAAAUUUGAUUUUGAAUUACGCAAUUACUAAUUUAUAUAGUAAGAGGGUCUUAUAGAAAAAUAGGAAUUUUUUAAAAGAGAUUUGUUAAAGGAAAAAGUUUAGUUUGGUCUAGUUCGUGAAGGCUCAAGUAAUUGAAUGCAAUGCAAGUGAAAGAAACACAAACUUCUAAUUUUUACGAAGUAAUCGCUAAAAUAUUUGACAAGUUUGAGAUUUUAAAAAGGCUGGGAAAAUAGACCAAUAAUAAAGACCCUACAAGUUAGCAUAACAAAUAAACAGAUGAAAACAGGGUAGAUAUUUACCAUUAUACAUAGAUAUAUAACGAAUGUUGCGAAUUUUUUAUAAUAGAGAACAUAACUCAUGGUUUAGCAAUAAUCAUCGGCUCACUGGCCGUUAGUUCAGAACGACAAUUCUUAUUAGUCAAAGAAUCAAAAUGAUUUUUAGUUGUUUAUAAGUAGAGCACUAGAUCAACAAAUAAUUGAAGACUUGCUUUUGCUAUUGAACCAUGGGAUGGCAAUUCGAAGACUAGAGCUUAAGUCUGCCAUUCGAAGUAAGCAACUCAGCUGCCCAAAGACUGCCAAGCCACCAAGACAAUGCGAAGAUACGACAUCAAGAAUUACAUACAGGCCAUCUCAUAUUACAUCUCUCCUCUGUUUUAAGAGAGAUUUACGAACCCACGCACUAGGAGUAAUUCAUUAAUCUAUACAGUUCAGUACUCAUUCCUCCUCUAUUUCGAAUCCAAACCAUUUAUUAUGACGCAAGGUACAUGGGUUAGCAGGUGCCGAUAUUGUCCUCCAUCCUUUUGUAUACGUUUCUUCUAUCGGAACAAUUUACAAUUAAAUAAAUCAUUCAAAAUCUCCUUUAGUCGAACCCCCAUUUAUAUGGUUUAAUUAAAUAUCACAAAGUUGCCUAAUACAGAGAAAUUAACAAAUUCAGCCCAUGAGAGUGCCGUUUUAAUGCAAGAAAUUGAAAGUUAAUUAACACUGGAUUAUGUUGGAUUGUUACUUGUUAAUUACGAUGGGAAUAUAAUCUUGGUCCUUUUAUUAUCAUCUAGCCAACCCAUGCGCAAUAGCUUCAUUUGUGUUUGUCACUAAAGAGUAAAGUUGCUUGAUUGAACGGUAUCAUAUGACAGAAACUCAAAACUCUAUCAUUGUCCGAGUAUACCAUGCCACAUAUGUAGCUCAAAGGUACAAUAACAUUGAACAUUCAGCUAGCUAGCUCAUACUAAUUAAUUUAUAGGAUUGUUAGUUCUUUAUGAUUAACUAAAAGUGAAAAAAAAUUGACAAUCACGAAAACAAUAACAAUUCACUCCCAUAAAUAACAAAAUAAAUGCAUAGUCUAUAUUGCAAGUCUUUUUAUGAUUUUAAUUAAAAGAGAAACUACGAAGGACAUAUUAUAUAUAAUUGAAUGUUCUCCUUGAUAAUUAGACAAAAUAACAUCAAUCUGGCUAGCUAAUCUGAUCAUCAUAAUAAUUCGAUUUUCAAUAUUUAAUUAUGUCCAAUCAUGCUAAUUUAAUAAAGAACACUAAAAACUUGAGUAUUUAUAUUUUCAACAACUUUGGCUAAGUUAAAAAAAAAAUAUUAGAGCUGCAUUUAUGCUUUCUGUUAUUAAGUAGGCCAUGAACAUAUUAUGUUGCAUUUGUUUGAAAAUUAUUGAAAAAAAAUCUUAAAAGAGGUGUGUUGAAUUGUGAGCCGGAAACUGAGUUGUACACGUUUCUGAGAUGUCGGUUUACAGCCCUGAUUGUGCAUGCCCUGUCGGUUUCUGGAUAAAACAAAAGAAUAUUGACAUCUAUGUAUUGUCGUUUACUUCCUGUAAGUAAAUCACAUGUUCUUCACGUGAUUUCACUUACUCUAUACGGCACAUUUGGCAGUCAUUUUGGUCACUUACCGAAGCGCGAGUUAGUACUUGAUUCAAGGUUGUUAACUGACCUUUACAAGGUGGGAAAAUUCUGGGUUUGUUAAUGUAGCUGGUGAGUGCGGGACCUUUCUAUAUUCUUCAUGAUCUGUAUAUAUAGUCUUAGAGGCUAUAUUUGAGACAUAUGAAAAGCUUGUAACUUCUUGGUGAUGGAGAUAAGAUUGCUACCUUGUUCUUCAGUGGAUAAGAUCGUCCAAGCCGAACCACUUAAAUUGUGCCUCUGUUUUGCUUGUUUCUGUUCUUAUUCUUGGGAGGUGUGUGAUUUGCUAGCAAUUAGAGAGUUUAGUGAGAUCUUUCUGGUUUUAGGUUGAGUUUAAUGGAUCAAGAAUCAACAAGAUGUAAUGAAAACAAAAUGAGAGAAUAAUGCACACACAUCACAGCAAUGCUUCAUUCAUUUUGAAUCUAUAUAUACAAAAUUUGUAUCGGAUGGUUUACGUUUGUUUAAUCCAAUGGCUAUAACAUGUGUACCAUCAAAAGCUACAGUAGCCGUCUUUGUUUGUCCUCGUGGCAUCCUUGAUCUUAUAUUAUCCUGGUGGUUCUUGAAAGUUCUUCUCAUUCCCAAGUGCUGAGUUGCUUGCUGAGAUGAUGAAUACUUGAUGGUCCUUCCUUGAGACAUUUGAUGAGAAAUGAUGUAAUCAAUAUAGAUCUAUUUUGAAAAAUCAAUAUAAAUCAAUCCCCUUAGAUUCUCUUUGUCUCGUAGCACAAUGGGUGGUGAUUUGAUGAGAAAUAUUAGUAUGCAUGCAUCCCCUGCAUUCGUAAGAGCUGCUCGUCUUUUUCUUCUUUCUUUUGGGUACUUUUUUAUUUUCAUUCAGUCAAAUUCAGUUGCAAUCAGAUAUUAAGUAUAUUUGCCAGAAUGGAUGCAACAAAAAUUCUAUCUGAUCUGUAGUUCAUGAAAAGCGGCCGAAUGCUUCCGGCAAUUCAAGCAGAUAGAAGCUUGGUUGAUUGAUUGCUCUUCAUGUGAAAUUCUACCUAAUGGCUAUACUUUUAAUGGUUUAAAUUCUUCUUUUUUUCUUUUAAUUGUUGAUUUAUACUGUCUUGUUUGCAAAUUAAAUUCGAAAUUUCGGAUGAUGAUAAUCUUGAUUUAGAACAGAUUAGGUAACAUGUGGCAUUCUACAAUCUUGCAAUGCCAUUUCUUGUUAUGGCAGCAGCAUUUUUUUCUCAAUUGUUUGUGUGGACUAAUUUUCUGAAUUCAAAACUUGGCGUAUUAAAACGGCAUCGUUUUGUCUAUUAAGAUUUUUCAACUGUUCAUGAAUGUGUUUUUGCUAAGGACAGCCUAAGUUUUAAGUUCUGCACGUGACAAGCACGUGAGAGAAGAAUCAAGUUAGUUAUAAGUUGUUAUACACGUGGCUGGAUCUGGUGCAAUCUGGUGUUAUGAACAGCCGUUAUAUAAGCUGAGCUUUUCAGGCAGUUUCAGCAAGAUGUAAAGAGCUUUCUAGAGAGAAUGAAGAGAGAGAGAAACUAUCAUCUUAUUCCUUGUUAGUUUCUCCGUGUGAUCUCUGUAAAAUUACUUUGAAUCAUAAAUAAAACUCAUUUUGGUCGAUUCUCCCUUGGAUGUAAGUUGUGCCUAAUUGCACAGCUGAACCACGUAAACAGUGCUGGUUUCUGCGUGUGAUUGUUUGUUAAUCUUGCUUAUUUCUUGUUUCCUAAUGGCUGAAAUCUUGCUUUAAGUUCUCAACUCAUCUAUUGAGUUCAUCGAGGUCAUUCAAUUGUUCAUAUGUAGCUAGUUUGAUCUUGAACAAGGUCUUGGGCAGUGUUUUGAUAGCUUGAUUAGCGGCUAUCUUGACAGUACAAUUGGUAUCAGAACUAGUUCUUCAGAUCAAGAUCCAAGUAUGGCUACAUCAAAGAUUGAUCUUGAGCUUGUAGACUCAGUGAUAAGGGAAGUGGCAAAAGAAUCCACGCUUGCUGACUUAUGGGCUAAGUUGGAGAGUAUGUACAUGAGAAAAUCCCUUGCUAACAGAUUGUACAUAAAGAAGGGGAUGUUUACCUUAAAGAUGAUUGAAGGCUCAUCUCUUGAUGAUCAUAUUGAUGGGUUCAACAAAGUCUGUGACACUUUGAAAAGCAUUGAUGCAGAAUUAAAUGAUGAAGAUAAAGCCUUGCUAUUAAUGAGCUCUCUUCCCAAAGUCCUAUGAGCAUUUUGUUGAUGGCUUGAUGUGUGCAUAUAUGCAUAUCAUAAAUUUUAUUUUAUGAUCGCGGCUAAUCCGACGACUUUCGAGUACAUUCAUUCAAAUAUUAAACGUACCAAGUCUACAGAUUUACGUUUUGCCAUUUGUGGCAGGAUAGCAAAAAUUACAAAUGGUCAUUCCCAGCACGAACACCUAUGGCUCUUUUCCUUUAAUUUUCUUCUUAGAAUUUUCCUUUGAUUAAUCAUUAGAAAAACUGCUUUCUUUUUUUUUUUCUUUUUUUAAACAUGUGCCGUUAACAUUUACAUGGUUAAUCUCAUCGAAAUCAAAUGGUUGUUAUUCCCAUUGCAACCAUAUAUUGUUAUAAAUUGCAUUGUUUCCUAUAACAAAUAUAAUAAAAUCUCAAUAAAUUAAUAGUUCUGGGACCAAUGAAAAAUUAGUUAAAAUUUAACGAAUAUCAAUUAGUCGAUAAGUUAAUAAAUUAUUAAUUUAUGAAAAUAUUCAUUAUUUUGGGAAAAAAAUGAUUACGUUUAUAGUAUUGAUUUACCUUGAGUUAGAAGCUAUUACGUUUUAUUUGAAUAGUAGUUUUCUUUUAAGAAGAUUUUUUAAUUAUAAAGACUAUUGUAUGAUUUUUAUUUUUCCAUGUUAGAGAUGAUAGUUCUGCUAUACAAGCUGUUUCGAUCAAAGGAUUAGAUGAUAUUGACAUUGAAUAAUUUUUUGUUGCAAAAUGACAACACCAAUUAGAAUUUCUUUUCGCAUUACAAAAGUAAAAAAUGAAAUCCAAUUCUAAAUUAAUUUACAAAGAAAUAAACUAUGCUGAGAAUAUAUUUUACACAAGCCAUAUAGACAUAUCAUAUGGAUUUUAUUUUAUACUAGGUAAUUAUUAAUCUAUGUAGUAAUAUAUUUCCUUCAAAAUGUACUAUUUGAUUUUGAAAUUAUUUUUUAAAAAUUUAAUAUCACAAUAAUAGUCAUGAUUCCAUCGGUUUGAGGUUUUUUUCUUUUUUUUGUUUAAGAAAAAAGAUGGGAAAAUAGCCAAAUGAUGAAAACACAAGCUAAGCAGAGCCAAUAAAUAGUGGAAAGUGAAUUACUGUCCUUGAACACGUUCUCUAAUAAUCUCAAUAUUCUACAUACAUUUUUGUAAAUUCGUGUCGCAUACAAAAGUCUUAUGGGUUUUGUUGCAUCAAUUCUUUGGUGAUUUAUCUUGUUUUAUUAUUUUACGACGCAAGAGUCCUCGAAGCAAUACAUUUGGAAUAAAACGAUUUAAUUUAUUUUUUGUUGUUAUUAACAAAAACUAUAUAUUAUUAAUUAAUCAACUCAUCGAGAUAUUGGUUUCAUUUGUAACAAGUAGCUAAUUGCUUAGUACAUUGUUGUACUUACUCGUUAUCAUAUCAAGAAGAACUUGUAAAUAAGAACAUAGACGUGGUACGCUGUGAUGUGAUAAAUUUAAUUCAAAUCUAAAUUAAGAGAUGAUUCAUAUAUAUAGGUACAUACCGAACAAAGAUAUUCAAACAUAAGCACUCCAUUUUAUGAUAUACCUAAUGAUAAUCGGUUUAUUGUCCAUAGGAAAUUGAGUGAAUAGAAACAGAUGUAGAAAGUCAAAAAGACGAAAAAGCGCACAUGACGAUUUAUAAAAUAAUAAAUUAAAUUUAUAUCGUUUUUAAUAAGUGUGAGAUUAUUUGCAUUUUAAAAUUUAUUUUGAAUGCUCUUAUUUUUUAUUACAAAACCUCAUAAUUCAAUUUACUAUUAAGAACAAUUCAAUAUAAAUAAAUAGAACAAUAAUACCUUUGACACCCACCUAGAGCGCACACACCCAUGUAAAAUUAUUAAACCUUAAACCGAAGAACGUUCUUCCUCAACAUUAAAACUCGUGCAUUAUUUAAAAGUAUAUUUAACAAAUUUUCACAAAGAGACUCCAUGAUUCUAAUUUCUUUGACUUACAUUUCAAUUUUUGUGGAAUAUAUAUCUAUUCCAUAUUAAGAGAUUCUGAAUUUUUCACUCGGCUGUCAAGGAGAUUGCACUGAAUAAACAACAGCAGAAAAACAAAUAAAAAACCUGAUACACAUGUAGAAUAUACUCAUUAAAUUUUAAUUUUCGGCACAAUUAUGAGCUGCAUAUUUACACACACACACAAAUAACUGUUCUGCAAAUAUGUACAAAGCAAUUUCAGCCAUCCAACUUUUUUUGGAAUUUUAAUGAAUAUAAAUUUUAUAAGUUGGACAACUAUGAAACAUAAAAUUAGCAAAAUGAUAUUAUUAACAAAUAAGGAGAGGAAAAGGUAAUUAUAUCUUGGUGUGCUAAAUAUUUUUAUGGGUGUAGUGAAAAAACUAAAGAUAAUGGAAGAAAUGUUAUUGAGGAGUAUUUUGAUAUUUACAAAAGUGUUCAAAGUGAAAAGUGAUUUCCUAAAAUCUAUUAACUAGUGCGCAUAAUAGAAGGGCAUUUUGAGAAAAUUUUAGAUUACAAAUAGUCCCAUCCUUUUAAUAAUAUUCUUCAAUCAAUCUGUUUAUUUCAAAAUAAAAAAUCCAUCUCAUUUUUACUUUCUAAUUAGUCAUAUUAAUGUGUUAAUAAUUACGAAGAACCAGUAUUAUUUGUAUGAUGUAGGAAGCCCUUUCGACACAAUAACCCAAAUUUCUAAGAGUAGCGGCUGGACUUGAUUGGGAACAACCUCGAUUCAGUUUAAAAGGUUAAUCUCAAAAUUUCGUGAUAUUGUGCCUAAACAGCUUCCUGCAUCCGUAUAACAGUUUCCAAAACUUAAUGAGUCCAAAUAUCCAAUGGUGAUGACACAUACGCAUGGAAGUCCCCUGAUUUGAGUUUGACUAAAAUAAUCUGAAUAAUUUAAAACAACACAUCAGGCCAAAGUCCUUAAGAGAUGAACUGGAUUUCGGUGCAUCACAUUCCGAAAUUGAUACUAACCUUAAUUGGGAAGGCAGAACAGCCUCUCUUUCCUACUAUUGCACAAAAUGGCAAGUCAAGCCAAUGCAAGGAACUUCCCUGUUUUUUUACUGAAAAAUACAUAAUCUGAACAAUUUGUAAUCAAAUAAAUCAUUCAAAAUAUCCUUUAAUCGAACCCCCGUUUCUAUGGUUUAAUAAAAUAUCACAAAGGUGCCUAAUACAGUGGAAUUAACACUCAGCUCAUGGGAUUGAAAUUAUAUAUAUUGAAACAGAAAUUAAUACAAGAAAUUGAAAAUUAGUUGACACUAGAUCACGUUGGAUCGUUAGUUGUUAAUUAUGAUGGAAAUAUAAUCUUGGUCUCUUAAUUAUCAUCUAGCUAACGCAUGUGCACUAGUUUCAAUUGUGUCUAUCACUGUAAACAGUAGAGUUGCUUGGUUGAAUAGUAUCAUAUUACAUCACAGAAACUCACUCAAUUUUCAUUGCCAUAUGUAUCUCAAAAGUGCAUGAACAUUGAACAUUCAGCUAACUUAUACCCAACAACAUCCAUCAGUCAAAGUGAAAACCCAAUUGAUUUCAUAAAUACAAAAGAGCAAGUUUCACACAUGCAUGCAUGUGUCUGACCAACACAACAUGGCUUGUGGCAAGGAUCAAUCAAAGAAAUAUAAACUUACAAUUUUAUAAAUGUUAAGUAGAUAAGAGCACCAGCUCGGCCAUGUCGUCAUCCCCACGCUGAGGUGGACCACCUCAGCCGAGUGGUACGAGCCGAACACUGGUAAUGAGCCUUCUACAAAUGGGCCGACCAGAGACGAGUACCAGCCAGAAGAGUAUACCGAUCAGAGACAUAUACCGAGCCGGUGCCCAUCCCCCAAAGAGCGGGAACACGAUCUCACAGAAUCACGCCAGUUGCGCUUUUCCCAGAACCGUUGAGGGAGACGCGAGAUCCCACGUUUGCCCACAAUGUAGCAGUUAGAAUCCCAUGAGGGGCUGCCACUACCCGAAAAAAGGGGACGGAGGGUGAAUGAAAACGUGGGACAGCGGCUAUAAAAGGGGAAGAAAUCGAUGAAGAAAAGGACAGAAAAAAGGAGAGAGGGGAAAACUCUGCCAAAUUGUAUCCAGACCCUUUUUUAGUACCAAUAGUGAGUCAAUUCUAGGCAAUUAUUUGAACCUUAAUUGCACCGUUUUCCCGUAAAUACUUUGUGCUAACUUAGGCAUCGGAGGGUUUACGCCGGCAAAACCACCGGCGUCUCUGACCCAUUUUUGUGAACGCAGGCUUAGUGAGAAAAAGAAGGAGAAGUCUAACUCUAGCAACUAGAGCGAUCGUUGAAGCAAGGAGAAAUUGACAUCCUCAUUGCUGAUAUUACAAACGUUGGUGUAAAGAUCUGGUCGGGCAUAGGACGAGCAGAUUUCGGCAUCAACAAUAAAGUAAGCAUCAAAAUGUUUGAGAAGUUUUAGAUUUGUAGAAUAUUGGGAAAACAGACAAAUAAUCAAUGAAGAAACUGCAAGUUAAGCAGAUCAAUUAAACAGAGGAAAUAACUGAUCAAUUCUUUGUGCAAUGGCCACAGCAAAUGUGAGGUUAUAAGUUGCUGAUGUGUUGGGCUUAAAUCCAAGAUUCGAAGAGUUCUGUGUGAAGACUGACUUCAGUUGGAGGGGUCUUAUUGUAAAUUUUAUGCUGAUGUGGCAGAGUUCGUUGAGAAUUCGUUAUGCCUUUUCCAGAAAUAUCAGAAUAAAAGGCGCUGGUGAUUAGCCCCUGAUCUGAGAUCAAUAUCUUCUUCAUUUCUUGUUCAUUUUGUUGGAAAUUUGGUUCUCUGUGAUCCUUGUAAUUGCCUCUUCGUAAUCAACCUGUAUCUCGAUUGUUAUGAUCAACAAAAGAGCAGUUUUUUCCUUCAUUGACUUGUGUACUUGAAACAGUGCUCUGUGUUCUAUUCUUGGAAUUGCUUUCGUGUUUGGUUGAUCUGGUUUGAUUCUUUCAAGUCCGAUUCAUCAAGUUCUUCACGAACUAACUUGUGUAGCCAUUAAAGUUUCAACAGCAACAGAUUAAAUCUGUCUACAAGGCUACAUUAAUCCUAAUGGCGUGGUACUAUCUUCAUGCAACAUUACAUUAACAUUUCAUCAUCAAUCAAUUUUGAAGAUAUGAUAUUAAAAACAUUGACUUCAUAAUUUUAUGUAAUUUCAUAUAAAAGAUGUAAUUGAUUUUGAGUUAGUUUAACAUAUAAAGAAAAAGUAAUAAGGAUUGAUAUCAAUGUGGCGUGUGAUGAGUAAUAAUAGACAGUAAAUAUUAAUCAUGCAAUAAUGAAACAUGUAUUUAUAGAAAAAUAUUUGGCAAUAAAAUGAUGCUAUAAAGUUUAAUAUUAGUUGCAAGAAAAAAAAAUUGGCAAUUAAGAUUAACAGAUACAUGUGCAAUGUUUCGAAACAUGUAUUUAUAGAAAAAAAAAAUUUCUUGCCAAUUAAGAUUAACAGAUUCAUAUGCAAUUAAGAUUAACAGAUACAUAUACAUAUGCUUCGAAACAUGUAUUUAUAGAAAAACAUUUGGCAAUAAAAUGAUGCUAUAAAGUUUAAUAUUAGUUGCAAGAAAAAAAAUUGCCCAUUAAGAUUAACAGAUACAUAUGCAAUGCUUCGAGUUUAUUUUAUCACUUCGGUAACGAUUUUGUAACUACAUAUUGAUUAGAAGUUCAAUUAAUUUUGACAAAAAACUCUGGAGAAAGUCGAAAAGAGAUUUGAUUUUUGUAUACAAAAAAAAAGUAAGAAAUGAAAAAGCCAAAAUCAAUUACAAGGACAACAAUGAAAGCAUAUUUUAUAAAAGGCACAGAUACAUAAUAUAAAUUUAGUUUUGAAUUACGUAAUUAUUAAUUUAUAUGGUAAGAGAGUCUUAUAGAAAAAUAGGAAUUUUUAAAAUAGAUUUGCUAAAGGAAAAAGUUUGGUAUAUUUUGUGAAGGCUCAAGUAAUUGAAAGCAAUACAAGUGAAGGAAACAUAAACUUCUAACUUUUACAAAGUAAUCGCUAAAAUAUUUGACAAGUUUGAGAUUUUAAAAAGGCCAGAAAAAUAGACAAUAAUGAAGACCCUACAAAUUGGCAGAACAAAUAAACAGAGGAAAACGGAGCAAAUAUUUACAUAUAUAUAUAUAUAUAUUUUCCAAAACCAAUGUUGCGAUUUCUUUUUGUAGAGCAAGUGAAUCCAAACACAAGCCAGAAUAAACGACAGCGUUUAGAGCAAGGGUUAAGAUUCGUUAUGAAGCCACGUGAGUAAGCUCGUGAUCUCCAUAAGUAAAACGACGCUCAGCCUUGCGUUUUGCUCAUAACAGACUUAACAGAGUUGCUCGUGCCAGUCACGUGUUCAUUUAAACUCUUCUGAAUCGGUUUAACGGCUGGACACGUGGGAAGCAGCUUUGCGUUCUGGGUUCGAAGUUUGUUAUUCUUCUGUUAUAUAAGCUCGUUGUAGUGUGAUUUCGAGGGUAUUCUAGAGUGUUGUUCAGUUAAGAGGAAGGUGAUCCUUGUGCUCUGUAAACUCAUCUCUGGAUACUUUGUUUUUUCUUGUUCACGAAUCAAUAAAAGCAAGCUGAACCACAUUAUCUCUGUGAUUUUGUCUCUGAUUCAUCUCUUUCUUUCUUCUUGAUUCUAUUUCUUGGAAGUUUAAGUCUGGUUUGUUGAAUAUUGAGUUGAUUCAGAUUCGGUUCUGUGCUUGUGCAUCUUGUGUUGGUCUCAUUCAAGAUCUUGGGCAGAGUCUUUGGUUUGACAAGUUAAUUAGAUCGUCCAAAGCUCUACGUUUUUUUUUUUUUUAACAAAAAAGAAGCACAGUCUGCUAUUAAUACUGUAGCAUGUUAGCUACUAUGAAAGCUCGUGUCUAAUUACCAAAUAAAUUCCACUUUAACAAAGAAUAGAAGCUAAUUUUAUUUUUUUCUUUUUGUUAUUGAAGUUACCUCGCAAACUGCUCGGAAGCUUAUUACAAAAUUUCCUUUUACUCUAGGAUCUCUUGAAUGGUCCUGCAAUUUGUAUUCUUUUAUGUGGGAUUGGUUUUUUCUUUAAACAAAACUUCACGGAUCAGAAACCUUACCCAUCGAAUACCAACUUUGAAAUUUAUUAUUAUUCAAACUUAGAAAACUGCAGAAACAAAGUGCCUUUAAACAAAUUUCAAGGAUAAGACAAAAUUAAAUAAGUUAAUUUCAUUGUUACUACAGAAACAAAGUGCCCUCAUAGCACCAGUUAAGCUGUGUCUUGCUACCAUGCUGGUUCUAUUUUUAGUUUAUUAAAUAUAUACAAAAUUAAAUCACCUGAGCCUCUAGUUUCACUAGUUUCCAACUUGAAAUUAAAACGCGAAAUUAAUGGUAUUGGAGUUCGUUAUUUAAUUUUGCUUUGGUUCAUGGGGAAUCAGAUGGCCAUCCAAUUUUAUGUCUAUUUUAUGUACUAUUGGCCACUAAGUAGCUUGCUUAUAUAUGUGUAUUGGGAUGUCAUAGGCCUUAAAGCUGAAAAUCAAUCCCCAAUCUAAAGUGAAAAACAGUAGCUAGAACAGAUUCUAUGUUUUGAUGUCUUUGUUUAUAAGCUCAAACAAAUUAGUAGUGUAUAGAAAAUGCAUGAUAGAACCCAAAACUCAUAUUGAUUUUUAGUUUCGAAAUUCAUUUCAGAAAAUCUGUUCCGUUCAACAGAUUUAACUAAAUUAUCAACUAAACUCUAGCCAUGUACUUGCUUAUCUAUGGGUAGAGCACUAGGUCAACAAAGGAGUCCAUCUUUAAGGCCUUGUCUAAGACUGUGGUUGCCUUUUUCAUGAGCUUCUGGCUUUCCAGCUUGCUGAGCGACGUACACAUAAAGAGGUUAUCCUUCUCUUUUUUUCUUUGUUUUCAUAUCACAGAAUCCAUUUUUGAAUAUAUGUAUUUAGGUACACACACACAUGAAUAUAUAUGCAUGUUUUUAUGAGGAUAUUCAAGUAUAUUAUUUGACAAUCACAAAAACAACGAUCCACUCCAAUAAAUCUCAUAACAAAUACAUGCUCUAUCUUUUUAGGACUAAUUCAAAGAGAAAAUACGAAGGACACAUAAUUGAAUUUUGUCCAUGAUAAAGAACUCUAAACAAAUUCAUAAACUUAUUGCAGUACCUGUUAAAAAUUCAUUUGUUUCUUCUUUUCCUUUGAUCAACAGCUAAAUACAGCCUUGAAAUUUCAUUUAGUUUUGGUUAAUUUUCUGUGGAGUUGUGUUGUGUGUAAUAGUUUUGUUUCACGAAAUCGGUAGGGGAAGAGAAUUUUUAAAAGCAUAUCAAUGUAAUGAUCAAAGAGACGAAAUCAAUACAAAUAUUGAUUGUCUCAAGUUAGAUUAUACAAAGAAGAAAGAAGCUAAUCUAGCAAUUCAAUCAUAAUAAUUUGAUUUCCAUUAUAUUAAUUAUGUGCAAUCAUGCUAUUUUAAUAAAGAACACUCGAGCAUUUAUAAAUAGUCAACUUAUGAAAUUAAUUACAAAACAAUCUUUCGCAGAGUUUGAUGAAAAGACUGUGUAUUGUGUUAUCUUGAGGUCUUAUAUCAAUUAAAGCCAGGCUGCGCUUUGGCUGACAGCGAGAUAUAUCCAAACAUAAGUGCUGCGAAUGAACUGGGAAGACGGUAGGAAGAUUAAGCUGCUGAGGAGAAGAUAUAUGCAAAAGAAAUAAAGCUAAUCUGUUUUUAUGUAACAAGCUAUGUACUCUGCUUUUAUGGUCUUUCUCUUUGCGGUUGUUAGACAAACUUGAACGUAAGUUUCUAUCUUAUGUGUGUCCUAAUCCUUUUAGAUAGCUUGAGAUUGUUGAUUUAUAUAUGACGUUUGGUAUCCAAAAUUCAGAUGAUGAUAAUCUUGGCAGUACUUUUAUAAAAUUUUCUUUUGUGUUGGUGUUGACUUAAUAAAAUAUUACAAAGGUGCCUAAUAUAGUGAAAUUAACAUGAGCUCAUGAGAUUGCCGUUAGAUAUAUUGAAAAAGAAAUUAAUGCAAGAAACUGAAAAUUAAUUGAUACUAGAUCAGGUUGGAUAGUUAGUUGUUAAUUAUUGUUAAGUGUGAACCAGAAUUCAGUGUGCAGGGCAAACAACAAUGUCGACCAUCAGACUUGGCAGAAGACUACAUGUCCAAUAAAAGCUGAUCAGGGCUGUACGACAACCUUCCCAUGUCAAUCAGAAUUCGUAAAGUAAUGCACGUGUGUAACACGUGAUCUCCUAAUAACAUAUUAACUGAAACGGCAACUUUUUUUUUUGAAAAGGCUGAAACGGCAACUUACUACUGUCGUUUUGGGAUAUAUAUGUUACGCACACGCUCAGCACAAGGGGGAUUGGUUACCAGUUAAAAGAAGCGGGAAAAUUCUGGGGUUAACUACUUAACUGUAACAAACCCAGAAUGAUUUGCAGGCUUCUGAGAUAGGUUUCUAGGAGCUUCAAAGCUUGUAUAAAAAGGGUCCUGAUGACUGAAGUUGAGAGUGGUUUUUUCCUUGUAAUCUCUGAAAAGGCUUGAGCCUUGUUUCCUGCAUUAAUAAAUAAUCAUAGCCCUGUUUCUCAAAGAGGAUGUAGGCUGUAAUGGCUGAACCUCUAUAAAUCCUUUCUGUGUUUUUUCUUUCUCUGUUGUGUGUUUCUAUUCUUGUUUUAGAUUGUAUUGAUUCCUAAUAAAACUGUUAAUCAUUCUUCAUACUGAAUUUUAUUAAAUCUCUUCUUCUCUUUUGAAUAAAAUUUCUUUAAAAUUCAAUUCAUAAAAAAGAAAAUCUCCUUAUAAUUUAAUAUGUUUCAGUUGUCUCAGUGGAAUGAUGCUAUUUGUUUCAAUCAAAGUUUUGAAGCAUCCUAAAAUUUUGAGAUCCAAAUGAAAAUAAAUUAAUUUAAUUCGUGGUGUACUCUAAAUUUUCAGCUAUAAAAAAAUAGCGAAAUUGAAGUGCACUUGGGCAAGAAGAAACAGAGACUGCGAUUAUACAAUUUCAGUGUUUGACUCUAUCGGCAAAAAAAGAAAAUAAAAAAGAACUCCCAUUGUUCCAUUGUUUUUCCCAUAAAUAAUAAUAUACAGAGAAUUUUGUUUAACGAGAGAUAUAAUAGGUAUUUAGGUGAGUUUAUAGCGUAAAUUUUAAAAUUUUAAAAUUUAAUAAUGGAUUUAAUAAGUAAUUGGGUUCAAAUAGUAUUUUAGUGGUUUUAAAUAGCCCCACCCUUUUUAUUUUUAAAAAAGAUUUAAUUACAAAAAUAUUACUUCCAAUCGACAGCAUUUUAUAUUUUAUUUUAUUAAAUAUUAUUUUAUUUUUGAAUUACUAAUAAUGCACAAAACGGCAUCAUUUAUUGAUAUUUUUAAAUUGUUUAAGAUUUGUUUAAUUAGAAAAUUUCCAUUGUUGAUAUUUAAAUAAUUUUAAAAAAUAAAAUAAUAAAAUUGGUGUCGUUUAGUUUUGUUAAAUAUACUAAGGGCUCGUUUGGUAUGCCGGAUUGGAUUGGAUCAGAUUGGAUAAGAUAAAAUUGGAUUGGAUAAUAAUGGAUUAUAUAUAAUACUAUAUUGGGUUUGGUCCAAUUUUAGAUUGAACUAUAAAUAAUCAUCUCUUAUAUUAUAAUAUUAUAAUUUACAAGUUAUUAUUAUUAUUAUUAAUAAUAUAAACUAAAAUUUUGUAUUAUUAAUUAUACAAAUCAACCUCAAUGAUAUUAAUGAAAUAUAAAUCAUAAUUUAAAUAAUUUUUAUUUUUUUAAAUAUAUUUAUGAUAUUUUUAUUAUUUUUAUUCAAUAAUCUAUUAUUUUAUAAAAAUUUAUAUUUGUGAAUAUUAAUUUAAUAAUAAUUUAUAAUGUAAAUUUGAAAUUAUAAAAAUAUUUAAUAAAUAAAUAAAUUAAAAUAAAAUUUUCAUUCAAUGUGAAAUUAAUAAUGAUUUUUAGUAUAAUUUAUUAUUAAAAUUAUUAAAAUCAAUAUUUUUUAUUACAUUUAUCACAUAUUACUAUAAUUUUAAUAUUUAUAAAUUAUUAUGUUUAAUUGAAUUAUUAAUAUAAUCUAAUACUAACUAAUCCCAUAGUCCCCUUGAAAUAAUUUCUUUUACAAAAUUGAAAUUAGCUUUGGGGCUCACGAUAAAUAAAUUCUAAUACUUUUGACAGAACUAAAUAUAGGAAUAGGAUAAAAUUUUAACAAAGAGUUUAAUCUCCACUUUUAAUCCUCCUCCAACCAAACAUGCCCUAAGCUAACGGAUCAUGGCAAAUUUGUAGUAAGUGAUGAACGAUUUGAUAAGCUCUACUCCAUCAGUUCCUUAAUUGAGAAAAUUCCCAAGCCCGUGCAGCCUCACAAUUGAUAGAGACCCGAAGCCACCAAACUCGACAAUCAUCACUCAACGUCGUUGCAGGCUACCGGUCGCUCAACAAGCACCAGUUCCUCACUCUACAGCCAUCACUCAAGCGCUGCCAUUUCCUGUUAAUUAUUCGCUCGAAUUAGGGUUCUGAUAUUUGGGGAUUUUUUCUUAAUUGUGGAAUUAUGAAGUAAUGAUGAUGACGACGAAGAUGUGGUGGUUGACGACGGCAAAGGCAACGUUGAAUAUUGAGGCACUGGAGAAACAAGCAUUGGCUAUUAUCUUGGUCGAUUUGCCUCGAAUUGAUCACUAAAAAUGGGGAUAUCGUGGGCCGAGCUUCAACGCAGUCGCAAAUUUCAUUUGGAUAACUGAAUUUUAUUUUAUUUUUGUGUUUAAUUUGUUUAAAGUUUAAUUGUUUAGAUCUAGGCUAAAUUUUAAUGAUCAUUUUUAUGAUUAAAUGACAUGAGUAUGCUUAAGUUUUUUUCCUUCAAAUUGAUUUUCUGAUGUUACAUUUUGUUAGCAAAAAGUUAAAAAAUAGUAGAAACUGUCUGAAUUUUUGUUAUGAAGAUGUUGUUUUAGUUUGAUAUUGGGAAAAUAUCAUUAUACAUAUUGCCAUCAUAUUCAUGGGAGACCAAAAUGGGAAUGAUGGCAGGCUAUGCAUUGCUCACAACUAAUUUAAAACUCACUAUUUCUGUUUUUGGUGUUUUAGUAAUUCUGGGGGCAUUCCAACUAUAAUUAAUAAGCUAUAAACUUGUUUAGUAAUUACUAAUCAACUUGCUAGAAAGAGUCACAAACUAAUUAGCUUUCUCUUGUAAUUUUUACAGAUCAUCAGUGGAUAAGAACUACAAGGAGUUGAAGACUUAAAGAUAAGAACUACAAGGAGUGAAAACGNNNNNNNNNNNNNNNNNNNNNNNNNNNNNNNNNNNNNNNNNNNNNNNNNNNNNNNNNNNNNNNNNNNNNNNNNNNNNNNNNNNNNNNNNNNNNNNNNNNNNNNNNNNNNNNNNNNNNNNNNNNNNNNNNNNNNNNNNNNNNNNNNNNNNNNNNNNNNNNNNNNNNNNNNNNNNNNNNNNNNNNNNNNNNNNNNNNNNNNNNNNNNNNNNNNNNNNNNNNNNNNNNNNNNNNNNNNNNNNNNNNNNNNNNNNNNNNNNNNNNNNNNNNNNNNNNNNNNNNNNNNNNNNNNNNNNNNNNNNNNNNNNNNNNNNNNNNNNNNNNNNNNNNNNNNNNNNNNNNNNNNNNNNNNNNNNNNNNNNNNNNNNNNNNNNNNNNNNNNNNNNNNNNNNNNNNNNNNNNNNNNNNNNNNNNNNNNNNNNNNNNNNNNNNNNNNNNNNNNNNNNNNNNNNNNNNNNNNNNNNNNNNNNNNNNNNNNNNNNNNNNNNNNNNNNNNNNNNNNNNNNNNNNNNNNNNNNNNNNNNNNNNNNNNNNNNNNNNNNNNNNNNNNNNNNNNNNNNNNNNNNNNNNNNNNNNNNNNNNNNNNNNNNNNNNNNNNNNNNNNNNNNNNNNNNNNNNNNNNNNNNNNNNNNNNNNNNNNNNNNNNNNNNNNNNNNNNNNNNNNNNNNNNNNNNNNNNNNNNNNNNNNNNNNNNNNNNNNNNNNNNNNNNNNNNNNNNNNNNNNNNNNNNNNNNNNNNNNNNNNNNNNNNNNNNNNNNNNNNNNNNNNNNNNNNNNNNNNNNNNNNNNNNNNNNNNNNNNNNNNNNNNNNNNNNNNNNNNNNNNNNNNNNNNNNNNNNNNNNNNNNNNNNNNNNNNNNNNNNNNNNNNNNNNNNNNNNNNNNNNNNNNNNNNNNNNNNNNNNNNNNNNNNNNNNNNNNNNNNNNNNNNNNNNNNNNNNNNNNNNNNNNNNNNNNNNNNNNNNNNNNNNNNNNNNNNNNNNNNNNNNNNNNNNNNNNNNNNNNNAAACCUUUAACCCCUAAACUUUUUUUUUUUUUUUAAAAGGCCAAGGGGGUUUCCCCCCAAUUUGGGGGAAAGAGUUUUCUUUUUUUUUUUUUGGGUUUCCCCCCCCCCCCCCCCCCCCCCCGCCCCCCCAAAGUCAUUUUUUGUUCUCUACUCCAUUGUAAAUUUGUAUUCAAAAGUCUUUUUCUUUGUCUUUAGUUUUUAAAUUUAUGGAGAUGAUCUUAUGAGGUCUUAAAUAAAUAGUUGUAGAGCUUUACUAAAACUAUGUACAAUCUUAUUGAGAUUUGGGUGUGAUUUUGUAAGAUUGCUAAAAAAUUCAUAUUUGGUAUUUGUUUUAUUUUCCUAGUCGAAUUUCUUGCUUGUAGAAGAUAAAAGAAAAGUGCAAUUUCAUGUUGCAAUAAUUUUUUUUCCUUCCCUCUUUUUCUUCCCAUAUAGUCUGGCUCUGGAUUUGGUGCAGUUGAUGGUUUUAAUACAGUGAACCAAUUUCGUCAGAAUCAUCUUAAAGGAUUAAAGUGGCUUCCUUUUGCAACUGGGUAAGUCAAUGUUACUUCCUGAAUUCAGUUUGGAGUUCUUUCGGAAUAGAUUUCCUUCCCUUACAUUACUUAGCUUCUAGUUGCAUCUUCUUGGCCUUCUCCAGCUGACUUUCCUAUUGGCAAAUUCCUUCGCUUCUAUUGUUUUCAGGUGCCAGUGCUGGAUUUGGAGGUAUGAAUCAUGCCUUCAUUUUUACUUUUUAUGAUUAUUUUUUUAAGGUGUAUGGUACUGUAAUAUAGUUCUUUGUAUAGCUAGUACAAAGUAGUUCUUUAACUUCUUACGUUCGGCUAUAAUGGUCUUGACAUAUGAUAGGGCAGCUCUAUCACCAAUUGACGUGGAAUGAGAAAUAGGAGACAAAUGGGAUUAGAAAAAUAAGAAACAUGACAAAAAUAAAAAUCUAAUCUACUCAUAUAAGCAACUCAUCAAAUAAGUGUAUCACAUACUUAAGUGAAUAACAAUCUGUAAUUUCCACGAAUCAAAGUAAAAUUAUAAUAUUCUUUAAAUAAGACUCAUAAGCUUGUUAGGUGUUAUAUUGAAUCAUCUAAGUUGAAUAAUCUUUUGGGUCGAAUAUUUAAUUUCUUAUUCCAUACGUUUCAGUCUCUCAAUAGUUGAAUUAGCAAUGAAAAUUUGAAAAUGGAAAAAUCCAAUGCAAUUAUUUUAGCUGCUUAUCAUAGAUAAGAAUUUCAAAUUUGACACUUUAUUGUCUGUUGUCAAAUUCAUAAAGUAUGAACCUGCAUUAGUUUAGUUCUCUAAUAUUUAUAAAUAAGUAAUACUUGAAUUAAGAUGAAAGAAAAUUGAAAAGUAGAGUUGCUUGAUUGAAUAGCGUCAUAUUUUACAUCACAGAAACUCAAUUUUCAUUGCCAUACGUAGCUCAAAAGUGCAUGAACAUUUAAAAUUCAGCUAACUUAUACUAAUUAAUUAAUACGAGUCUCAGUUCUUACUUCUUAGUACUUGGCAACAUCCAUCCAUAAGAGUGAAACUCCUAUUGAUUUCAUAUAUACAAAAUAAAUAACUUACAAAGGCAAUAUAUACAAUCACGACAAAAACACCAAUUCACUCCAAUAAACAACAUAGCAAAUACAUGGUCUAUAUUGCAAGUCUUUUUACUAUUUUAAUUAAAAGAGAAAAUACGAAGGACAUAUUAUAUAUAAUUGAAUAUUAUCCUUGAUAAUUAGACAAAAUAACACUAAUCUAGCUAACUAAUCCAGUCAUCAUAAUAAUCCGAUUUCCUUUAUUUAAUUAUGUCCAUUGAUGCUAUUUUAAUAAAGAAUACUGAACACUUAAGUAUUUAUAUGCUCAACAACUUCGGCCACGUUUGAAAAGAUCAUAUUAAUUAUUAAUAUAAAGAAAAUAACCCUACAAGGUACAUAUUACAUAUGCAUGUAGUUGCAAUAAAUACAUAAUAAUAAAGAUUGUAAAAGUUCAGGGCCAUUAAUUCAACAAUUACUAAACCAAUAUCCCAAUAAUUGUUUGAUUACUAAUCUUAGCAUUAAAAGAUCUGCAAAUUUUAUUCGGCCAAAACAAAUGCUUCCUUAUUGCUUCCUUGAUCUUAUCCUGCCUGGUGAUUCCUGAAUGUCCUUCCCAUUCUGAUAUGCUGAGUUGUUUGCUGAUUAUAAAUACAAAUCACCUUAAAUUUUCUUAGUCUUGUUCUUCAUGCGAAAUUCUACGUAAUGGCUUAGUUGGUUUAAAUUCUUCUUUUUUCUUUGAAUUGUUGAUUUGUAAUGUUCUUCUCGCUCUCACAUGUGGCAUUCUGCACUCUUCCAAUGCUAUUUCUUGUUAUGGCAGCAGAAUUCUAUAUUUUCUCCCAGUUUCUUUUGUAAAGACUUCUAAAGAACCAUCCAAUGGAAGUUAGAUUAUACAUGGAAGAAUAAAUAAUGCUAAUCUAGCAAGUCCAAUGGUAAAAAUUUGAUUUUCAUUAUAUUAACCGUGUCCAAUCAUGCUAUUUUAAUAAAGAACACUUGAAUAAUAUUUUCAUGUCCAGCAUGUAAAAUUUCAAAACAAUUUUUGCCAAAGUCCUCCUCGGCUAAAUUAAUUUAUGCAUUAAUAAAGUCCUCCUCUUCUAAAUAAUACAAAACCUGUUACGUUGUUCUACCAUUUUUUUUUUUAAAAGCAUUCUACUAUUUAAUAAAAGAAUUCGAAAACUCGUUCUAGACAUACACCGAACCAUAUUAAUUUAAAACAGUUUUCAACUGAGAUUUGAAAUUACACACACAAACACACCGAGUCCUUUAUAUAAAGUGCUUUUAAUAAAUUAUGGUCGGUUUACUAUUAAUUAAUCAAAUUUAAUUUACUCAAAUUACUCCUGUACACGAUCAAAAUAAUAUCAAUUCUAUGAUAUAUAUAUACGUGCACAUACAUACAAAAUGUAAAUAACUUUCAAAUAUAAAAUAUUUAAAAUAGACGAAAUAACUUUCAAAUGUUUAUUGUAUUUUGAUGGGUUUUUGAGGAUGGUUGUAUGUAUUAGCAACAACAAGGUGCUUUUUAUAAAUCCGGGUCCUAAUUUUGUAAAAGAAAUUAAUACUCUCGGUUUAUUGUUAAUAAAAAAGAAAAAAGAAAAAGCAUUUUUCUGUGGCAUAUAUUAAGCAUUUUAAGAAAAGAAAAAAUUACAUUCCAAUUCAUGAAAGACAUUCCUUCUGUCAUAUUGAUGUGUUAAUAGAAAGAUCUAUGUAAAUUAUAACAAUUUUGAUGAAUCUAAAUAUUUAAUAACCGAUAAAUUAUAUUUAUAAAUAUUAAUACCGGUGGCACAUAAGCACUUAAUUCAAGAACUCGCCUAUAGUGCAUUAAUUUAAAGAGUAGAAAUAUUUAAUAAAUCAUGCCCGCUUUACUAUUAAUUAAUAAAAUUUAAUUUACUCAAAUUACUCCUCUACAUGAUCAAAGUAAUUUCAAAUAUACAACACACAAAAUGUAAAUGAUUGAAAUAUAAAAUAUUUAAAAUAAUCACCCCACUAACAAUUCACCACAAAGAUUAUAAAUAGUCGAAAUAAUGAUAAUCUAAGGGGUCCGGUCAUAAUAAUUUAAGUUUUAUUUAUAUUAAUUAUAUAAAAAAGAGUACUCGAGAUUAUAUAUAUCCAACAGCUAAAAUUUCAAAACAAUAUUUGCCAAAGUCUGAUGAAGAGAAUACAUAUAUAUAACAUGCACUUGCACACAUUCUAUUGUUUAAUUAAAAAAUUCGAAAGCCCAUUAUAUACAUGAUAAAGACUUACCGACACCGAACCAUAUUCAUUUAAAGGAAUUGUUUUCAACUGAGAUUUGAAAUUUUUUUUUUUGAAAAGAAACUUCUAUUAAUUCUGAGAUGAUAACAGAUACAUGACUUGUAGAGGGUAUGAACCCUUCCAUACAACAGUUUCGCAUUUCUCUAAAGCUAGUUUAGCUAGAGAAUGGGCAAUGGCAUUGCAAGAUCUAUGUGUAUACACACAACUAACAUGAUCGAAGCUUUCUUUCAAUUUCUGAAUUUCCAAUACUACCCAAUAGAUCUCGGAUCUGCUGCCCUGACUGUUGUUUACUAAACAAACUACUUCUUGCGAGUCUGACUCCAAAAUUACAUCUGUCACAUGUGCAUCUUUUGCCACCUGCAAGCCCCAUUCCAUAGCUUCUGCCUCGGCAUAAGCUACACUUCCAUGGAAUUUUGAGACCUUGAUCGCAGCUGCUGUCACUUGCCCCGUUUCAUCUCUAAUCACAGCCCCCAGCCCAGCAAGAUUCUUUUCUGAGUUGGUAGCGGCAUCAGUGUUGAUCUUAACAAAACCUUCUUGAGGGGGAUUCCAUCCCAGCUGCGCCACUUUCUGCUGCUUUCCAUGGCUUACAGCAACUGAAGGCUGCACUCUCUUAUAAGCCUCCAUCACAGCUUCAGCUUUAGCCACAACAGAUUGGGGGUUCUCUCGCUUGCCUUUGAACAGCCAUUGGUUCCUUGCAUUCCACUUUGCCCAGAGAAUCGCGGCAAACAAAUCUACAUCAGCUUUGCUUCUCAAUCUUUUCACGCCAUGCAACAAGCUCAAAACAUCCUGCCCAGGGGCUGCUUGAAUAUCAUUAUCAAAAAGGGAUAGUCUCCAAACCUUCUUGGCUGCUUUACAAUCAACUAAGGCAUGAAACAAAUUCUCUAUUCCCAUUUUACAAAGCUGGCAGGUAGGCUCUUGGACAAUCUUCCUCUUCCACAAAUUCUCAGCUGAAGGAAGUAAGUUUUUGGCUGCCCUCCAAACAAAAAUUCUGAUCUUCUUCGGCAAAGCAAGAGACCCAAUUUUUUCUUUUUUAAAAAAAUUACUAAUAAUAAAAUAUUUCAGUCGUCCUCUGUUCGGCUGUCAAAAACCCAUUAAGAUCGAUUUGAACAGAAGGUAUAUGGGUUAACAAUCCUCCAUCCUUUCUGCACUUCUCUUCCAUCAACGGACAGCGAUAGAUACUUAAUUGCAAAAGUGAGGAAGGCAGGCCCUUCUCCGGAAAGUAUUUGAGCUUGGGACAAUCCACGAGAUUCAAGUGGGUGAGGUUUUGAAGAUCAACAAUUGAAGAAGAUAGGCGUUCCAGAUUUGGAAAAUCUACAAUCCUCAGAGAUGUUAGAGAGGUAGGAAGAGGAAGCGCGGUCCCUAAUCUUUUGUCCUCUAGUGGAAAUGACACCAUGUCGUCAUCACAUCCUUCGAUUGUAAGAUGUCGCAGAGAGGAGAAUCUAUGAAAUCCCCGACCCCGCUCAAUCAUUGACUUCCAAAUCUCCAUAUUACCCCAAAUAUGAAGUGAAUGAAGGUUGGUGGGAAGGCCAUCUUCUUCAAGGCUUGGAAGCUCAACUCCUCUUCCUAUUGUUAAUUCUUGAAGAGAGGUCAGAUUGUGCAAUCCCUUGGGUAAGGCCUCCAGUCUCUCACACCCAUAGAUCCUGAGCUUACUCAGUUUCGCACAAGGCAAUCCCCCUUCGGGAAAGGACACCAGAUUUUCACAUUCCCAUAUUUCGAUCUCUUGAAGCUGGCCGAGAUUAUGUAAACCACUCGGUAAAAUUUUCAGAUUUUCACACCCAGAAAUAUUGAUUGUUUCAAGAGAUGUGUUGUUGUCCAACCUUUCUGCUAUUGACUCCAGCUUUGGACAAUACCAAACAAAAAGGGACUUAAGAGACGGAGGUAGAUUGCCAACUUCAAGGGACUCAAGCGUGGCAGGUAACUCGUUUUGUGAAAAUAUACAUGUCAGUGAUGGACAAUCCCUAAUUUCUAACUUCUCAAGAAGAGAUGAGGUGUACCUUCUAUUGCUGCUGCUGCUGCUACUCUGGAUGCCCUCUUCCACUGUCAAAGUCCUUAUAUUAUCACAACUAAGGAUGUCCAACCUCUUAAGGCUCCGUGGUAGCUGGACUCCAGCAAGAUAUGUCAACGUACGACAAUGCUCAAUAUACAAGGUCUCGAGAGAUGAAUUGGUGUCGCACAUCCAUGCCUCUGGUAAUGAUUUCAGUGCGUCACAACCUUCAAUCUCAAUUAUCUUCAACUUGGAAGGCAGAGCAACCUCAGGAAAGGAAACAAGGGAACUGCACUUGUAGAUUUCUAUCUCUCUCAAGGAACUGAGGCUGAGAGAUGAUUGUGGCAGCUUCACAAGGCCUUCGCAAUAACUCAAUCUUAGAUAUUCGAGUCUGCAUGACAACUCGCAGAGCUGCUGUUGUUGGUCUUUCUCUUCCUCCGCCACCAAGGAUUGAAGUUUGGGACAGCUUGUAAUCGUCAGUCUUCUGAGAGAGCAAAUGUCUUGCAGUAAUUCGUUAUGACUCUUCCAAAUAUAUGUCUGCUCUUUCAUAUCAUUUAUCUUCAAUUCUUCCAAUUUUGGCAGUCGCGGCUUUAAUGGCCCUGCGAGAAACAGUUGAUUUGAUGUAUCUCUACAAACCACUGAAUUCUGUGAGCCGAGAUGAUCAGCUGCACUUCUCCACACAACCUUUUUACAUCCACCAAUUUCAAAUUUGCAAAGAGCUGGAAGACUUGUAACUGAAACUGACAAUUCUUCACAUCCUUUAAUAACAAGCUUCUCCAAUGCAGGAAGGUGCUCUGGAAGUGUUCCUUGCAGUUUAGAACAUCUUAAAAUGUGAAGCUCUCUCAAUUUAGGAAACCCUUCAACUCCUUGACCGGAUCCAUGAGGAAUCCAGUCUUCCCAUUCUUCCAUGUCUUCAAAACAAAGAGUCUCCAAGCAUGGAAAAGGAAUUGAAGCAACCUUCCCAUAGAACUCUGGAUCAAAUCUCCUUACGCUGCUCAUUCCACAUACUACAAGAUGCUUUAGAGAGGGUAGUUGCCCGACCAACGGCAGGGCAGUACACAUGCUACAAUAUUCAAAUUUAAGUGUUACUAAAUUUGACAAUGAGGAAUUUCCUAACCAAGUUGAAAAAUUUGUGCCUCCAUAGCCGCUGAUACAAAAUUGUUCCAGAUUUUUAUGGGGUUUUAGCAUGUCAAGCACGCCCUCUUCAGCUUCUGCCUCCCUUGAAGAUGAACCAUUAGUAUUGCGAGUCCAUCGAAGCCAUAAUUCUUUAAGAUUCUCCUUUCUAUCCAAUUGAGCGUCCUCGGCAUCAAUAAUGUGUUUUACAUUCUCCAAAUUUGAAAUGCAAAGUGUCCCCCCAAGUUGUGUCAAGGACUUUAGCUCUCGUAACCGGGAACCACUGUCUUUUCCCACAACAAAAUUACACAACGUCUGAAGACAAGUCAGCCUACCAAUUCCGACUGGCAUUUCCUCCAACGAAGAUGUAUUUGAAUUAUUGAGAUGAUGCAAUUUGAUGAGGUUUCCCAUGGCUGCACACAACUUUUUCAGUCGCCAACAGCCCUCCAACAGAAGGGUGUGCAAAUUGUAAAGCUUGUUGACUGAUUCAGGCAGAGUUCUAAUCUCAGUUCCAGAUAGGUUAAGGUACCUUAAAUACCUCAAAUCACCAACUGAAUCCGGCAGCUUGGGGAUGAAAUAUCCACACAGAGAGAAGACCCUCAAUCGUUGGAGUUUGAACAACUUAGGAAGAAUGCUAAGAGCAAAGUAUCCACGCGACCUAUUUGACCGCCUUACUGGUAGAAAAGUUCGCAAAUGCUGGAUAUUGUACAAGUCUUCAAACCUUUUACCGCCUUCAUAAUAUUCAGGAAUGUAUGACAGAUGACGAAGAUUUCUGGAAAAACUUUGUUGCUUGUUAACCUCCGAGGUAUACUCCAUUGUGAAGUAUAUCUCCCCCGCAGCCCAUUGAGCAAGGUCAUUGACGAGGUCGUGCAUCACAAAUCGUGAUAUACCGUUGCUUGAUUGCUGGAAAAAAGAUCUUGCACGUAGCUCUUGAAAGAACCUUCGACCUAGAUCUUCACUUGGAUUCCCGCUCUCUCCGUGAUCCAAGAAACCCACAGCACUCCAUAAUAAAAUUAUCUCCUCCUCUUCGAAUUCAUAAUCCUUUGGAAACAAUGAGCAGUAUGCAAAGCACUGUUUCAAAGGUGCCGAGAGAUAAUAGUAGCUCACUCUAAGCGCCGGUAUAAUGUCACAUCUCUCUUCUGGUAAAUCCCAUAUGUUGCAACUGAGCACACCUUCCCAAUCACUUCGGUCACAUUUACCACGUAAGAGUCCACCAAGUGUUUUCGCAGCUAAGGGCAAGCCGUUGCAUUUGAUCACUAUCUUCUUGCCAAUUUCCUCCAAUGACUUGUUUGAACUGAAAUCUCUUGUCCCCAAAGAGUGUUGAGCGAACACGGACAGACAAUCAUCAAAUGACAACUUUUUCAAUUCAUAAGCUGGAGCAGUUCCCAUGAUGGCUGCAACCUCUUGAUUACGAGUUGUGACAAUAAUCUUACUUCCCGGUGCGCCAGCUUCAAACGGACGGCUCAUGUCAACCCAAUCAUUGUAUUUCUCAUUCCAAACGUCGUCUAAAACAAGCAAAAAUUUCUUUUGAGAUAACUUCUUCUUCAGCUCCUCUUGAAGCAAAUUUAAAUCACUGUCAUCAAUAGUCUGCUUAGUAACGGAUCUUAGAAUUGUUUUUGUUAGCCUCUUAACGUCGAAAUCGUCAGAGACACAAGUCCAUGCCUUGAGAUCAAAAUGAUCCUGCACUCGCUUAUCAUUGUAGACAAGCUGAGCAAGAGUAGUUUUGCCCAUCCCGCCCAUACCUAUAAUAGGAAUAACAGAGAAUCCACCAUCGUUGCUUAAAUCAUCCCUCAACAGCAGUUCAACAACAUCCUUCUUUUCUGUUUCCCUGCCAUAUACUUUGGCUUCAGUCACUAAAGAGGUUGUCUCUAGCCUUUGACUGGCUUUUUUGGACCCUCCAGCUGAACUUUCUUUCAAAUCUAGCAAGUUUUUCUGUGUCACAAUUUCUUGAAAUCUGCUGUUGAUCUCUUUGAUUUUGGACAUCAAGCCAUAAUCGAACUGAAUCGAUUGUGGAGUAAAAGUGGUGCAGCAAGCAGGAAUGAGCUUCCGAAACUUACUUGUUCUUGUACGACUGCUACUGGGUUGAUCAUGAGCAGCAGCUGGUUCUCCAUUUCCAAGCAGCAAGAUCCUCCGGAGAGCCUCAGUUUGAAACUCAUCCAACAAGUCUUCAACAUCAUAAGCCAAGUUCUGAAGCUUGCCAAGCCACUUCUUCACAGACCGAUUAGUCGUCUUCUUCUCCUCAGCAUCAUCAAGCACCGCCUUGAUCAUCUCCAACAUAUUCUCCCACUUCAUUAGAUCGUCUUGGAUCUUCUCUUGGCGUGCAAAAAACAGAAUCCCCUCUGAAGCUAACUUAUUGACCACCAAAUCAACGGACGCCGUAAGGAUUGCCUCUCCGAUCAUUGACAUUUUUUUCUUUUUUUUGGGCAAAGGAAGAAAGGAGCAGAAUUAUGGGUUAUGGAAAGCAGAAUGAGAAAAUUGAACGGGUGAGAAAAUGGAUAAUUAAGCAGAAUGAGUUUGUGAUUGUGAAGGGUCUGGCCCAGCUAGAAAUCACGCGUUUAUACUUUAUUGACCAAUGACUAAUAAUUUGGCAAUUCACCCAUCACACCACCACUUGGUAAGCAAAAUGAAAAUGCUUAGUAAUUAAUAAGUGUCAAGGGUCAACCAAAAUACGACGUAAAAUGUGGCAAGUCUCCCCACUUGUUUUCCUUGCAGCUAAGAAAAGAAAAACACAGCCCACCACCCAUUAAUAAUUUAGCAAUUCACCAAUCACCACCACUUGUUACGAAAUUCCUUCCGUUAGAUAUUCGUAUAGGUCAAGCAGUUAAUCCAGUGUCAAUUACUUAGAACCUUCACUUUACAAAUCUUCAACUCAUAAACCAAGAUAAAUCAAAACGUUUCUCUCUCUCUAUUUUUUUUUUUAAACUCCUAAAACGUUUCUUUUUAGAAAUAUUUUACUUUAUUCAUCUAAUAUGUUAUCUAACAAAUAGACACAGAUGAAAUCACUCUAAAGUGAAGAUGAAAGGGGAAAAAAACAUUCCAACCACCAAUAAUUUAUUCCGCUAACGUUUUCAAAAUAUUGUUCUUUAUAAUUGAACAGGAAAUAAGACUAAGUUUUGGACAUUUUCAUAUUCACUUACUUUCAAAAGCAGUAUUUCGAAACAUUUUACAGAAUCAAGUAACAGUUAUAUAACGAGAAAAGUGCAAAGUUGUGUAAUUCUAAUGUUUAUUUUAUCACUGACACUCAGAUCAUUUUUUAUUUGGGUCGCCAACUCACCAAUGAAUCCAUGAUUGAAUGAGUGUUUAGAAAAAAAAUCAAUAAAAAACAGUUUUUCUUUUGGUCGUCGAAAUAUAGUAAGUGAGAAAGAUUAUUCUGUUUUUUUUGUUAAUUAGGUUAGUAAUUAUGAUUGAGUGACUCAGAACUAUAUUCUAGAUUGAGAAUCAAUGGUUCUCCCACACUGAGAGGCUGUAAGUUUAAGAUUGUCGUUUGCUAUUUCAUCGACAAGAGAACACUUGAAUUUAUUAAAAGGAGAAGGCCAUAAAGAUUUUCCUUUAUGAGAAAUGUAUCUGAUCAUUCCUUUUUACUUGAAAAUUUCAUAUAUAAAAACUCAUUAAUAAAUGACAGAAUAUACAUAAAUUAUUAAUUCAUUUGAUAGUUGAUUAUCGAAGGACAUGUGACCCAUGGAAGCAUGCAGUCUAUAAAAUAAUUCUUUUUUUUUAUUAAACAAAAAAUUGGUGAUGUUGAAAAGCAAUAUUAUUAUUUCUCUAAUUGGGGUGAACAUUCAUAAAAAGAAUGCCGUAUGAAACUAAAUUAUUAAUUCGUUUGAUAGUUGGUUAUCGAAUGACAUGUGACCCACAAUAAAUAGUUAAAUUUGGCGGCAACAAUAAUUACAAGACGAACUUAAAGCAGCGCAUAGGUUUUCCUUAAAAAUACAUAAACAAUUCGAUAUUUUUUAUUUGACAGUUUUUAAGAAAUGUCAAACAUAUAUGACAUUUUGUGAAAAACUGAGUAAUUGUGAAAUAUAAAUGAUAAUUUAUUUAAACGUCAAAUAAUUGUGACGUUUUAUCAAAUAAGUGAUAAAUAUCUUACAUAUUUAUUGAAUAAUUAUCAUUUACCUUUUCCUUUUAUUGACUCGAGCAAAAAAAACAAAAAAACUGACUAUACUGCUUUUAUUUUCGUUCUUAGAACAGAUUUUAGUUUCUUUUGAGAAAAUUCAAACUCAUUCCCAUUACUUUCUUUUCAAUAAUCACCUCUCAGUUUUUCAUCAAUCACUCAAUUCCGAAUUUCAUCUCCAUUCUCUUUUGAAGAAGAACGCACGAAGAAUUUUAGCUUGCUUUUGCUGCUUCUCGAAUAUUGGGUAUUGUUUCCUUUAAUUUAGAUAAUUGUUUUUUAUAUCUCUCUUUCUAGUUUGAUAAUUUAUGGUUAUACUUGAAUUAAUUGUAUUUUUAAUCAACCAAGGUUGAUUUAAUUGAUUCCAAGUCUCAAUUUCCUGUUCAACAAUUUUCAUACUCAAUUUUGAAAGAAUCAAUGUAUUUUAUCUUUGGUUAGUACACUUCUGUUCAAUUUUUGUUUAUUUAACUUAAGAUAUCUUUUUCUUUCUUUUCUUCAAGCAAAUUAUAGAUUAUAUUGAGAACAGAGUUUUCUCCUUAAUUCCGCCAAGAGCAACGUUGAUUUCAGGUGAUAAUUGAAUGUGUAAUAUUUUCAAUUGAAAUUAAUUGAGUCUCGUGAUAAUAAUAGGGAUUUGAGAUUUACAUCCUGUUGAAAUGAUUUUAGAGUGUUCUGUUAUUUGAAUGCGCAUUAAUUGUUUGAUUAAAUGUCUCUUUAAAAGAUUAUUUUUGUUUUUAGCAAACAUCUUAAUGCACUUUACAAAUUGAAUCCAACAAGGGAAAAUUAUAGAACUGCAGCAGUUUUCAAAUUGAUUGCAUAUUAGAAGUAAUGUUAAUUUAUGCUGCAACAGUUCAAUGGGCUGGGCACAAGUUUAGGACUUCAGUUGCUCAAUUAAUGAAUCCACCACUCAUCAGACUUGGAACUUAUAUCUAUUGAAUCAAUAAAAAUAGUUGAUGGAAUCAAUGCCGAAAGCUUCAUUUGAUAUUUAUUUAUAACAUCUGUUAGAUUCUGGACAAUCACAAAGAUAUAGUAGCAGAAACUAUGUUAGAGACACUAUAGUUGCUUAAUUAGUGAAAUUGUGCUCUCAUUGCCCCCUUUUUUUGGUUGAUUCUAUAAUUUUAUUAGUUGUUCUUGUGGUUGUAAACAAUAUCAAUUUCUAAUAUUAAUAAAACUGAAUGAAUAAAAUGCGAUGCAUUUGCAGGAAAGUUAAUAGUUUAAAUAUGGAUAAAUCUUGGAUGUUGAUGGAUAGAAGGUCUAUAGAAUAUGAGAACAUGGUAAAUGAGUUUCUCAAGUUUGCAGUACUUCAUGCUAGUCAUCUUGAGCUUUUGAGAUGUCCAUGCCAAGCAUGUCUUAGUUUAUAGGCUCAAACAAUUAACAGUAUAGAAAAUGCAUGAUAGAACACAGAACUCAUAUUUUAGCAACAAUCCUCAGCUCACUGGCCCUUAGUUCAGAAUGACAAUUCUUAUUAGCCAAAGGUUCAAAAUGAUUUUUAGUUGUUUAUAAGUAGAGAACUAGAUCAACAAAUAAUUGAAGACCUGCAGCUUGGCUAUUGAACUAUACGAUGAUGCCAAUUCGAAGACUACAACUUGGCUCUGCCAUUCGAAGUAAGCAACGCAGCUGCCCAAAGUCUGCCAAACCAAGAAAAAUAAAGACUUCUCCUUAGCAAUUAAGUUAAUAUAAGGAAUGUUGCAUGUCCACAAAACUAGGUAGACGCAACUGGGACUUCAAUAUAUAUAUAGAUAUAUAUAUAUAUAUAUAAGCAUUUCCUAGAUCAAUAUUAUUCUCAGUAACUGAAUAUUGAAGCUGACCAUCACAUUUAAUAAUAAAUCAAUAUCAGGAAUGUUGUUGAGGAGUAUUUUGAUAUUUACAAAAGUGUUCAAAGUAAAAAUUGAUUUCUUAAAACCCAUUAGCUAGCGCACAUAAUAAUGGGGAGAAAAUUUUAGACUACGAAUAGUCCCACCCAUUUAAUAAUAUUCUUCAAUCAAUUAUGUUUACUUCAAAAAAAAAAAACCAUCUCUUUAUUACUUUCUAACUAUUCAUAUUAAUGUGUUCAUAAUUAUGAAGAACCGGUGUAAUUUAUAUGAUGUAGGAAGCACAUUAGUCAAAAUCAUCAGAAUCUCAAAAUUUCGUGAUGUUGUGCCAAAUAUGCAAACCAAAGCUUCCUACAUUCUUUGUACGUUUGUGUUAGUUACAAGCAAUCACAGUGGUAAACGAAAAAAAACGAAUUAAAACACAUGAGGAGAUUUAAAUGAAAAUGUCUUAAUCAUAUAUCGCAUGUAAGACCUUUUGUACUCAAAACUGAUCAGCACCCAUUCUGCCCGCCGUGUGAUCACAUCUUGAAGGGAGUGUUGCUUCAGCAUUUUUAUCAUUUUUACUAUUUCUAGGAUCCAUUUUGUCACCUCCCUCCCUCCCCCCGGUUUCUAAAAUAAUUAUAUAAUAACCAUAUAAUUAUUGGUUGUUCUAGCAAAUAAAAAAAAAAAAAAUAUAUAUAUAUAUAUUAAUCUUUUAAUAACAUUAUCACUUUGUCAAAAUAAAAAAUCUCCUCAUUAAAUAAUUAUAUUAUAUAUAUUCAUUUAUUUAUCCAAAUAAAAAAGUAUGAAGUCAAAUAGUACACAAUAAUUUAACUAAUUUGAAUUGGUUUAUUUUUAAUGAAACAAAUAACAUUCCUAAAUGCUUCUCUUGAUCCUUAAUUUAUUGAUAAUUUUGUCAAUUUAAGGUCGGCUAUAUAUUGAUUAAAUUACAAGCUUAGACUAUCGAAAGCUGGUUACAGUUAUGGAGGCAGGAAAAAUUUUAUUGUACCAGAAAUUUUUUCUACAACAGUCCAUGCAAAGUAAACAUUUGUAAGGAAAUUGGAGAAUAAUUACAAAGCCAACUAAAUUUUAUGAGAAUCAAUUUGGAGUUUUUGUUAAUCGCCAUUUUGCGUUCAUACAAAGCAAGUGUAGAUACCGGCACAAUAAGCUAAAUGCAAAAUCCAAUGUAGGACAGUGGGGUUGGGACAACGAAAUGGGGAAAUGGGAAUCUAGGUAAUUGCACUGAACCUUAAACUGAGAGUACGGGCACUUAAAAUUUUUAAAGUGUCUAAUAAGUUUCAGCUAAAAAGGAAAUAGGCUGUAAAAUUGCUAAAUUCAUUUUGAUUUCUAAAUUCAUAAAUAACCUUAAAAGUUCUCUGAUACAACUUGUCAAUAAUGGUGAAAAUUCAAUUUCAGAAUGACAAUUCUUAUUAGUGAAAGAAUCAAAAUGAUUUUUAGUUGUUUAUAAAUAGAUCACUAGAUCAACAAAUAAUUGAAGACUGGCUUGGCUAUUGAACCAUACGCGGCAAUUCGAAGACUGAAACUUAACUCUGCCGUUCGAAGUAAGCAACUCAGGUGCCCAAAGGCUGUCAAGCCAUCAAGACAAUACGAAGAUACAACAUCAAUAAUAAUUACAUAUUACACCUACCCCAAUAAGAAAUUAGUUAAUACAGUCCUAGAAAGAAAUUUACAAACCCAUGCUGUAGGAAUAAUUAAUUAAUUUAUACAGUUCGGUACUCAUUCCUCUUCUGUUUCAAAUCCAUAUCCACUGCUCUGCCAUUUAUUACUACGCAAGGUAUAUGGGUUAGCAAGUGCCGACAUUGUCCUCCAUUCUUUAUGUGCCUUUCUUCUAUCAAGGGACAACCCAAGAUCUCUAAUCGCAAGAAAAAUAUUUCAAAGUAAAAAGUGAUUUCUUAAAAUCUAUUAGCUAGUGCACAUAAUAAAAGGCCAUUCAUGGUAAAUUUUAGAUUACAAGUAGUCCCAAUAAUAUUCUGCAAUCAAUUCCGUUUAUUUUAAAAUAAAAGAAAUCCAUCUCUUUAUUACUUUCUAAUUAGUCAUAUUAAUGUGUUAAUAAUUGUGAAGAACCAGCGUAAUUUAUAUGAUGUAGGAAACCCGUUAGGCAAAAUAACCUGAAUUUUUUAAAGUAGGGGCUAGACAUAUUGGGCAUAACCUCAGUUUCUGUUACUUCUUUGACCCUGCCUAAGCUCUUUUAUGGGCUAAUAUCAAAAUUUCGUGAUAUUGUGCCUAAAGAGCUUCCAAUUCAAGGAGCUCCCCUGUUUUUGACUGAAACAUAUGUAAUCCGAAAAAUUUAUAAUUAGAUAAAUCAUUCAAAAUCUCCCUGAAUCUAACCCACAUUUCUAUGGUUUAAUAACAUAUCACAAAGGUGCCUAAUAUAAUGAAAUUAGCACUAGUUCACGAGAUUGCCAUUAUAUAUUACAAGUCUUUUUAUGAUGUAGAUUAGAAGGGAAAAUACGAAGGACAUAUUAUAUAUUAUAUAUGAUUGAAUUUAAUCCAUGAUAAUUAGACAAAAUAACACUAAUCUAGCUAACUAAUCCACCCAUCAUAAUAAUUUGAUUUUCAUUAUUUUAUUGUGUCCAAUCAUGCUAAUUUAAUAAAAAAAAUACAGAACACUUGAGGAUUUAGAUAUUCAACAACUUUGGCCAAGUUUGAAAAAGAUUAGAGCUUCCUUCAUGCUUUGUGUUCUUAUGUUACACAUGAUCAUAUUAUGUUACAUUUGACAGAAAACUGAAAAUUAUUGAAAAAAAAAAAUCUUAGUUAGCACAUUAUCAAAAUGAGAGAAUAAUGCACACACAUCACAACAAUGUUUCUUUCAUUUUGAAUCUAUAUUUACAAAACUUGUAUCCGAUGGUUUACAUUUGUUUAAUCUAACGGCUAUAACAUGUGUACUGUCAAAACGCUACAGCUGCCAUCUCUGUUUGUCCUUGUUGCAUCCUUGAUCUUAUAUUAUCCUGGAGAUUAUUGAAUGUUCGUCUCAUUCUCAUGUGCUCAAGGGUCCUUUCUUGAGACAUUUCAGAAAACACCUGAUUCAUCCUAUUAAACAUCAGCAUCAUUAAUCAGUAAAUGAUGUAAGAUAUCCCUGUUUUGAGAAGUCAACAUAAAUCAGUCACCUUAGAUUUUCUGAGUCUCAGAGCACAAUGGGUGAUGAUUUUAUGAGAAAUAUUAAUGUGCAUGCAUCCCCUGAAUUAGCUAGUGCUGGUUGUCAUUUUCUUCUUUCUUUUGGUACUGUUUUAGAUUUUUAAUCAAUCAGAUUCAGCUGCAUGUUUGCUUUUAGUCCAAACCAAAAUAAGAUAUUAAGUACUUUUGUCAGAAUAGACGCAACCAAAAUUCUAUGGGAUCUGUAGUUCAUGCAGAAGCGGCCGAAUGCUUCCGGCAACUCAGGCAGAUAGAACCUUGGUUGAUUCGUUUUUCUUCAUCUGAAAUUCUACCUAAUGCCUAUCCUCUUAAUUGGUUUAAAUUCUUCUUUUUUUUUUCCUUUGAAUUGUUGAUUUAAAAUGUCUUGUAUGCAAAAUUUAUAAUUUCGGAUGAUGAUAAUCUUGUUUAAGAAGAGAUUUCUAGUUACGGCAGCAGCGUUCUUGAUCAUGGCGUCACAAGCACGUGCUCUGGUUUGCUUAGUUUCCUUUUUGUCUCUGAUAUUUUCUUGGUAUUGUGGGAUAUUGUUUCUCUUUUGAUUUUCUGUUUUUGUUUGCUUAGUUUCCUUUUUGUCUCUGAUAUUUUCUUGGCAUUCUUGUUCUCUCUUAUAAUAAAGUGCUUUUGAUAAAUUCGCCUGGUCGGUUUACUUCACUGACCAUUAAUGAGCAAAUCCUCCCAGUGACCCUCAAACUCUUCUACACAAUUAUAAUAAUUUCAGUUUUAUAUAUACAAAAAUGAACAGCUCUCAAAUAUAUUAUUUGAUAAUGACAAAAACAACAAUUCACUCCAAUAAAUCUCAUAAUAAAUACAUGAUCUACAUUGCAAGCCUUUUUAGGACGCAUUCAAAGAGAAAAAAGGGGAUGGUCGGUUGGGUUGCUUGCAAAAUUAUUGGUGCGGGAAUCUACUUGUUUUUGUUUCACUUUAUUAAUUAAUUACCAAAGCAAACACGUCAUCAUUUGAAAAAGAAUCACUAGCACCAGCUUACGAAAAAUAAAUUUGUAAGACAUAUUAAUUUCAAUGAAAAUGUAGCGUGAUUAUGUUAUGAAUUUAUUAACUUCAUUAAUAGUGAAAAUGAAGCGUGAUUUUUGUGUCUAUCACCAAAAAGUAGAGUUCUUACUUGAUUGAAUAGUAUCAUAUUACAUCACAGAAACUCUCUCAAUUAUUGAAAAAAGAAAUCUUAAAAGAUCCCUACUCUCUGCUUAAAAAAAUCUUAAAAGUUUUCAAUUAUUGAUAACUGAAAAUUAUUGAAAAAAAAUUUAAAAGAGAUGUGUUGAAUUGUGAAAUUAAAACUGAGUUUCAGACAUUUCUGACAUGUCGGUUUAUAACCUUGAUUGUGCAUGCCCUCUCGGUUGCUUGAUGAAACAGGAGAAUAUUGACAUCUGUGUAUUAUCGUUUACUUCCUGCAAUUAAAUCACAUGUUGUUCACGUGAUUCCAUUUACUCUAUACGGCACAUUUGGCAGUCGUUUUGGUCACUUACCGAAGCACGGGUUAAGUACUUGAUUCAAGGUUGUUAACUGACCUUUACAAGGCGGGAAAAACAAACCCGGAAUGCAGCUAGUGAGUGGGGGAAUUUUCUGGACUCUUCAUGAUAUGUAUAUAUAGUCUUAGAGGCUAUAGUUGAGACAUAUGAAAAGCUUGUAACUUCUUAAUGUUUGUAGUUUGAUCUCGGUGAUGGAGAUAAGAUUGCUGCCCUGUUCUCCAGGCCGAACCACUUAAAUUGUGCCUCUGUUUUGCUUGAUGACUACCAGUGGUGAGAAAACAGCUACAGAACAAAUCAAGCUUGAUGACUCAAAUAUUAGGGAAGCCAUAGUCAAGGCAUCUGGUUUAUGCAUCAACAGUGGUUCGUGGACUAGAAUUCCUAGCUAUUGCCGCUUCACAAUUGCACUGGAAGAAAGCGAAUUUGAUCGAGCUUUGGAUCGCAUAGCUAAAUUCAAAAGCAUCGUACAAAUAGUUAACUAAAAAACGGUAUUGUCACUUGUCAUGAUUUAUUUCUAUUGCCUGAUGAUGAUACCCAUCACGCCUUAGUUGUCGUGAAUAAAUCUAAAAUCAAAUUGAACUGGUUUUUACUGGUUAGCAACAUUUGUGACGUUUUGAGAUUAUAAUAUAUGACAACACUGAUUAGUGUUGUCUCCCAUGUGAAUUGAGACAAAAAUUAUUUUCCCAAUUGCUCUUUCAUUUGAACAAUUCCACUGUAGAUUUAUAAAAUAAUGAUGAAAUUGUGUUUUAUAUUAAGUUACGAGUAAUUGGUUAAAUAUUAAUACAAAACUAUUUUAAGUAACAUGUGGCAUAUUCUCAUUCUAGCCAAGCUUCAGAACAUUCUGCAAAACGUUUAGUCUCUACGCAGUGCUAGAAUUUUCCCUAAGUUUCUAUCGCAAAGACUUCUAAAGAACUAUUCAGAUAUUAAGCUAUAAUCCAGUCUAAAGUGUAUAUAUCUCUCUAAUUCACCUCCCUCCAUUUCACCAGAAAAUCAACGAACACUUAGCUUCAAACUGAAGAAAUUGUAAAACUGAAUAAAUGCUGCUGUUUGGCAGCUGAGAAAAUGCAGAGGAAAAUUCUUUAUUUCAUUAAUGAAUUGAUAUUUUGUACUUAGAAACAAACACGAAACGUGCAGCUAUUUAUACAUGCUACACUUACUAACUAAUUGCUUACUAACUGAUUAUUAAUCACAAGCUCACUCAGCUAAUCAAUAACAGAACACAGAGUAUGCAUUGUGAGGUUAGUUAGGCUGGUAAUUUCUGCUGACGUGGACCUUCUGACGUGGCACUAAUGACAGCUGAUAACUUGACACGCUGACUCUUCUUCUUCACUUCUGCACAAUGAGCUAUCUUCACAGCCCCCCUUAAACUCAAAGGACAUGAAAAGACAUUGAGUUUGUCCCUUAAAUAAUUGAAUUGAGGAGAAGAUAAAGGCUUGGUUAAGAUAUCUGCAAUCUGAUCUUCACUUGGCACAUAACAGAUUUUGAGAUCACCAGCUAACACUUUGUCUCGAUUAAAUGAACAUCAAUCUCAAUGUGUUUGGUUCUUGAAUGGAACACAGGAUUCUUUGCUAGUUCUGUUGCACUUAUAUUAUCACACCAUAUUGUUGGUCUCUCUACACAGCAUACUUCCAUUUCCAGAAACAAUGACUUCAACCAAGCUAUCUCUGAAGCAGCUGAAGCAAGUGCUCUAUAUUCACUCUCAGGCUGAAGACUUAGUGACUACUGUUUGCUUCUUUAAAGACCAUGAAAUCAGAUUGUUUCCAAGAUACACACAGUAAGCUCCAAUCGACUUCCUAUCAUCCAAGUCACUUCCCUAAUCUGCAUCAAUGAAUGCAGUAAUUUUCAAAUCACCAUCCUUUACAAACUUUAAGCCAUAAUCCUGUGUCUCCUUCAGAUAUUUAAGAACCCUUUUGCAAGCCAUGAGAUGUUGCAUAGUUGGUGCAGAAACAUAUUGGCUUAACUUAUGAACAGAAUAAGCAAUUUCUGGUCUUGUCAAGAUCAGAUACUGGAGACUACCUACAAUGCUUAUAUAAUGAGUUGCAUCUUCAACAUAGUAACCCAAUUCUCCUUUAACUAUCUUCUGCAACUUUGAGUCCUUGCCACUGCACAUUGGUGUUAUCACUCCUUUACACUCAAGCAUGUCUACUUUAGCAAGCAAAUCUCUGAUAUACUUCUUCUGAGACAAAUAAAUGCAAUCCUGACCAUACAACACUUCUAUACCAAGGAAAUAGGACAAUCUUCCUAGAUCUUUCAAUGCAAAAACAAUAUUAAACUGUUGAAUGAAUCUGUCCAAUUCUUCACUGUUAGGUCCAGUAACUAAUAUGUCAUCAACAUAUAUCAAUACCAUAAUGAAUAACACUUUAGUUUUUCUUAAGAAUAAGGAAGAAUCAGAUUUUAAAUUUCUGAAACCCCAUUGAAGAAGACAUCCCCUGAGCUUUUCAAACCAGGCUCUAGGAGCUUGCUUAAGACCAUAUAAAGCUUUGUGUAAUCUGCAAACAUAGUUAGAUUUACUCUUAUCAACAAAGCCUUCAGGUUGCUGCAUAAACACUUCCUCUGACAAUUCACCAUUCAAGAAUGCAUUGUUGACAUCCACCUGUCUAACUAUCCACUGAUUCAUCACUGCAAGACUAAGAACUACUCUCACUGUUGCUGGCUUUACCACUGGACUAAAAGUAUCAAAAUAAUUCACUCCUUCAAUCUGUUGAAACCCUUUUGCCACCAAUCGAGCUUUAUACUUAGCUACACUGCCAUCAGUGUUAUACUUUAUUCUAUACACCCACUUAUUCCCAACAACUUUCUGAUUUUCUAUUCUUGGUACUAGAGACCAAGUUCUAUUUUCAAUUAGUGCAUCAUACUCAUUUUUCAUAGCUAUAAACCAAUUUGUGUCUUGCAAAGCUUCAUCAAUUGAAUCUGGCUCUUUGUGAACUAACACUGCAGUAUACAUUUUUGGCUUAAAAAUACAUGUUUUUCCUCUUGUGGUCAUGGGGUGAUUGUUCUGAACAGGUUGAAUAUUGUUUGAGGUUAUUUGGGACUGAGAUGGUAAUGGAAUUUGAGUAGGAUCUAUUAUGUUUGGUGAGUCUAGAUCAUGAACAGGUUCAAGAGCAGGAUUGAGAUUUGGUGUUUGACAUUGUGUAACUUCAUUUGCUUGUUGAUGAUCUGCUGAUGGGAACAGUUCUGUGCUGCUGGAACAUGCUGGAGAGCAGGAUUCAAAACUGCUGUUACAAGGAUUUGACACAACAGGUAGAUUGGAUAAAUGGAAAACUUGAUGAGGGGACAAAGUAGAGCUGGAUAUUGAUUGUGUUUUGUUCUCAGAAUUGAAAACAGGAUCUGAAGAAAAAGGGAAUGCAUUUUCAUCAAAUAUGACAUGCCUUGCUAUGUAUACACGACUAGAAUGAUGAAGGCAUUUAUAUCCUUUGUGAGCAGGGCUAUAACCAAUGAAUAUGCAUUUACUUGUGUGAAAAUCAAAUUUAUGCUUAUUGUAAUCUCUCAAAUAUGGAUAGCAAACACAACCAAAACAUUUCAACAUCUUAUAAUCAGCUUUAUGUUUGAAAAGUUUUUCAUAUGGUGUCAACAUUUUAAGAGCUGAAGUUGGUAACCUAUUGAUAUGAUAAACUGAAGCAUGGAAAGAAUCCCACCAGAAAUGCAAAAGAAGUUUGGCUUGAGCUAACAAUGUAAGACCCAAUUCUACUACUUGUCUGUGUUUUCUCUCAACUAAGCCAUUUUGAUGAUGAGUAUGAGGACAAGAGUGCCUAAAUAAAAUGCCACACUGAUUUAAAAAUUCAGUGAAUGAUCUGUAUUCUCCCCCCCAGUCAGAUUGCAGUAUCUUAAUGGUUGUUUGGAAUUGGUUUUCAACUUGUAACUUGUAUAGCUUAAAAACCUCUAAAGCUUCUAAUUUCAAUUUCAAUGGGUAAAUCCAAGUAUAUCUAGUGAAAUCAUCAACAAAACUAAUAUAAUAUCUAAAACCUUCUCUUGAAAUAACUGGUGAGGGACCCCAAAGAUCAGUGUGUAUAAGCUCAAGAGCUGAUUUGGUUUUGAUUUCUGUAACUGGGAAAUGCAACUUGUGUAUCUUACCCAACUGACAUGCUUCACAGAAAUGUUGUGUUGCUUGUUUAACCAUAUUCAGAGAAAACUAAUCAGCAUGAUGGAGUUUAAGUAAAUGCAAUAAGCUUUGAGAGUUUGGGUGGCCAAAUCUUCUGUGUAGAAGAGCUAUUUUAUUAGGUUUAUCAGAACAUACAUCAAAACCAUUCUGUAAACAAUUGUUUGAAUUAUUUAUGUACUUUACAGAUGGCAUAUGAGAAGCAAGAUGACAGCAUGAUAACAUUGACAGAGGUUUAUUAGCUUGACUAUGAGACAGGGGAGAUGACUGAAAAUUCUUGGUAGAAGACAUAGGUUUGACCAGCAGUUUAUACAACCCUUUCUCAGCAAUGCCCUGCAUUAGAACUUGUCCCUUCAGCAAAUCCUUCACAACACAAAAUGAUCCAAGAAAUUCAACAGAAAUGUUAUUGUCAGUGGUAAGUUUUGAAAUACUUAUUAGGUUCUUGGUGAUAGAGGGAACAAGCAAGAUAUCUUUAAGUGCAAUAUGUGAAUAUGUAGGUUGAGAUUUUGAAUUCUUGAAUGAAAAAUAAGAGUCACCAAUAUGAGUUAUUGACAAACCUUCACCAUUGCCAAUAAUGAGCUUAUCAUUACCUCUAAACUCAUCUCUGAUGGUCAGAUUUCCCAUGUUGUUUGUCAGAUGAUGAGUGGCACCACUGUCCAGGUACCAACCUUCAUCUGCAGGUCCUUCACAAUAUGCAGCAGAAGCAGUUCCAACCCAGGGCAUACCAGAAUUGUCAGAUGCACAAGGAUAUCCAGACUAUGACAUGUGUAAUCCAUUAUUGUUGACAGGCCAUGGAUCAUCAUUUGUUGGAUAGUAAGGUAUGUAUGCAGGUUCAUAAUUUGCUAUGUAGGCAGACUUUGAACCUUUUCCUCUCUGAAAUUGCCUUGGUGGCUGAGGUAUGUAAUUCUCUUCAAAUCUAUGCCAGCAUUCAACAGCAGUAUGUCCUACUUUGAAGCAAAUCUGACAUGUAUUCAUAGAAUCAUCGCUGUUGGAUACGUGUGACUCAAAAGGGGGUAAAUUUCCAGUACCAUUGAAACCAGUACUGCCAAAAGAGCCUCUUCCAGAAGAACCAAAUCUAUUGCUUCUCAUCAUCAUUUGAUUUCUUCCUUGAUUACCAAAAUGACCAGUUCCAGCAGGAAAACCCCUUGGAUGAGAAUUCAAAAACAUUCCUCUACCAUUAAACAUACCAUUUCUACUACCUGAGUGACCAUUAUAAUUACCUUGGACACCUUCUGUAUAUCCUCCUUUCCUAGCUUGACCUCUUAUUUGAGCAUAGUAUGCAUUCAUCAUACUAUUAUUAUUCCAGUUAGACAUAUUAGCAUAGUUUACAUUAAUCAUGUGCUUUUCACUUUGAUUUUGUUCAAGUCUGGCCUCAUGAGUAAGUAAUAAGGCAUAAGCAUCAUCAUAAUCCAAUUUGCUUGCUGUGAUAAAAGUAGCUAAAUCCAAAUAGCCAGCUCCUAGACCAUUGAGAAUUUGCUGCAACAUAUCUCUAUCUGAUACAGGACUACCAGCACAUGCUAAUUUGUCUGUAACUUGUUUCAUUUUUAAGCAAUAUUCUUCAAUACUUAGUGAAUCUUUUCUUAAGACACUCAUCUCAUACUUAAGUUGAAGAACUCUAGCCUCAGAUUGUACACCAAACCUUUUCUCUAGUGUUUUCCAUAUAUCGAAUGAAGUAGUGCAUGAGUGAACUAAACUGAGAAUACCUUCAGUUAUUGAGCUAAGAAGCCAGCUGAGUAAUGUUUGAUCUUGAGAUCUCCAGAUUGUGUAUUCAGGAUUCUCGAUCUGUUGAGAAGAGCCAGUAGUUGUUUCAGUAAAGCUUGAUGAUGCUAUGAAUCGGUUUGGUGCAAUCCGUUCUCCAUUGAUGUAUCCUUCAAGUCGAUUUCCUCUAAUGGAGGCCAGGACUUGAUUUUUCCAGAGCAUGUAAUUAGAUCUAUCCAAUUUGAUUGGUGUGAUGAAAGAAAAGGUUGUCUAAUUUGUAGCUACUGUAUUUUGAUUGUUUGUAAUUGCCAUGAUUGGCUCUGAUACCAUGAAGAAAUUGUAAAACUGAAUAAAUGCUGCUGUUUGGCAGCUGAGAAAAUGCAGAGGAAAAUUCUUUAUUUCAUUAAUGAAUUGAUAUUUUGUACUUAGAAACAAACACGAAACGUGCAGCUAUUUAUACAUGCUACACUUACUAACUAAUUGCUUACUAACUGAUUAUUAAUCACAAGCUCACUCAGCUAAUCAAUAACAGAACACAGAGUAUGCAUUGUGAGGUUAGUUAGGCUGGUAACUUCUGCUGACGUGGACCUUCUGAUGUGGCACUAAUGACAGCUGAUAACUUGACACGCUGACUCUUCUUCUUCACUUCUGUACAAUGAGCUAUCUUCACACAAACAAACACUCUCAAAAAGCGAGCUAGCUACCCAGAUGGCAAAACCAAGAAUUCUUGCAAUGACAAUGUUGUUUCUUGUUACGGCGACAACAUUGAUGAACAUGGCGUCACAAGCAAACGCUCUGAUGCCGUACACACAAUCACCUUUCUUUGACAUGAUGUUCCCAAUGACGGAAGAGCCUUUCAGGGUUCUUGAACAAACCCCUUUAACAAUCGCAAAAGGAGCUGAUCAUCAUCAAACUCUAGCCCUGGCGAGAGUAGACUGGAUGGAGACACCAACAGCUCACGUGAUUAUGCUUGACAUUCCAGGGAUGAAGAAAGAUAAUGUGAAAAUUGAAGUUGAAGAGAGCAGAGUACUGAGAGUGAGUGGGGAGAGGAAGAGUAAUGAUUAUUAUAAGGAGGGAGUUGAAAGAGAGAAAUGGCACAGUGAGUGGGGAGAGGAAGAGUAAUGAUUAUUAUAAGGAGGGAGUUGAAAGAGAGAAAUGGCACAGAGCUGAGAGGACAUUUGGCAAGUUUUGGAGGCAGUUUAGGAUGCAUAUGAGUGCUGACUUGGGUCAUAUUAAAGCUCACAUGGUAAAUGGGAUUCUGAGGGUCACAGUACCAAAGCUUGCUGAGGAGAAGAAGAGGCAGCCUAAGGUUAUUAACAUUCAUGAAGAGUCUGGUAAUUCUUCCGAUGAAGAUAUUAAGGCUACCAAGGCUCAAAUGUAAUUGAUUAAAGAAAGAAGUGAUUGCUUUGCUUGAUGUGCUAUUUAUUUAUGAUCUGUUCUUGGUUUUGUUGUGAGAUGUUUCUCUUUGGAUUCUCUGUUUAAUGUAUUUUGAUGGGUUUUUGAGGAUGACUUGCAUGUAUUGACAUAAAGUGCUUUUUAUAAAUCCUAAUCCUACAGCAUAUAAGAAUUAAUACGAUUCGUUUAUUGUUAAUAAAAAUAUUUUUUAGAAAAAGUCUUUUUAUUUGGCAUUUAUUAUGCAUUUGAAGGGGAAAAAAAAGUUGUCCCACUCGUAAUUCAUCCUCUUCUGUGAUAUUAAUGUGUUAAUGCGAAGAUUCAUUAUAAUUGCAACAAUUUUGACGAAUCCAAACGUUCAAUAACUACUAAAUUGUAUUUAUAAAUACUAAUAGCGAAGGUAGAAACGACUAAUUCAAGAAGUUGCUUAAAGUGCAUUAAAUUAGAGAGUAUAAAUAAUUGUGUGAUACAGUCCAGCCUUCAUCUGCUUAUAAUUAGCAACCAAAAACCACUUUGCAACGCCAUUAAAAAAACAUUUUAACAUUAUUGCUGAGGGAAGAGGCAGCUUAAGCUUAUUAACUCGUAUUAUUAAUGCUGAUGACGCAGCUGGUAAUCCUUUUGGUGAAUAUAUUAAGGCAGCUGAAGCUUAAAAUUAAUUAAGCCCACUAAAGCUUAAAACUAAUUCUUCUAGUGACGAUGCUUUGCUCAGUUAGCUUUUUGUUUUUAAUUUUUUUGGGGCUAACGUUUUGCUUAUUUUGCUUUUAAAAUUCUAUUCGCUUUCUCCUUUGAUUUUCUGUUUUUGUUGUUAUCGGAUUUGAUGAUGGUUUAUAUGUACGAAGAUUAUGUAAUAAAGUGCUUUUGUAACUAUAUAUAUAUAUAGCCAAUAACACGCCUGGUUUAUUGUUAAUGAAAAUUAAAAAAGAAAAAAAGUCUUUUCUUUGGCCUUUAUUAUGCAUUUUAACUUUUAAGAGGAAAAAAAAUUUAUCCCACUCCAAUUCAUGAAGAUAUUCUCUUUUCUGUCAUAUUGAUGUGUUAAUAUGAAGAUCCAUUGCAGUUGGUGAAUUCAAAUAUUCAGUAACUGAUGAAAUUGUAUUUAUAAAUUCAUACUAAUAGCAAUUGAAGAUUAUAAUUAAUUUUGUAAUAUGGUCAAGCCCUCGUGUGUUUAAUUAGCACUCAAAAACCACUUUACAAUAGGCAUUAAAAGAACAUUAUAACGUCAUUGCUGAUGAGUUCUGGUGAAGAUAUUAAGUUAAGGCCACAAAAAUCGAAAUGUACGUAGCUUCGUUUGUUUUUUGUUUUUUAUUUUUUUUGGGGCAAAUGCUUGGCUUCGUUUGCUUUUUCAUUUUUGAUAUUUUAUUGGCUUUAUUGUGUGGCAUGUUCUUGUUUUCUUUUGAUUUUCUGUUUUUUGUUGUUAUAGGAUCUGAUGACGAUGUACAUGUACGAAGAUUAUGUAAUAAAAUGCUUUUGAGUUUUGAUAAAUUGUGGUGGGUUUAAUUUACUUGGUCAAUUGAUAUUUGUUAUCAUUGUUGUUAACAAUUUACUUGGUCAAUUAACAAUUUUUGCCGAAGUCUGAUGAAGAGAAAUAUUACACAUAUGUAACCGUACAGCUAAAUAAAAGAAACUAAAAUUUAUUUCGACAGCUAAGAAUGAGAUACGCAUAAGAAAUUAAUCGAUUAAUUAAUUAAUUAAUACAUAUAUGUCCCCCACUGCUAAAAUAAUGCGAGCCCCUUACUCUACUUAACAUUUUUCAUAAUGCUAAGUACGUUCGCAAAGGGAAAUUUUCAAUAAUAACCAUUAAAAUUUUCAUUUUUUUCAUCUUAACCCCCCAAAAAUAUUUCUAUCAACAUUAGCCAUUAAACAACUUUUGAGACCAAAACACCCCUCCCUCAUCUCUCCCCCAACACUCCCUUUUUCUCAUCUCUCCCAAACCGAUCCAACUCCCAUCAUCGGCGGCGACAUCAACCCUCGUCGGCGGCGGCUCCAUCUCUCACCGGCAUCCGAUCUACAACCUUCAACAAAACCUAGGUUAGUAAUUUUUCUUAUUUUCAUUAAUUUAAAAUGAGAUUUUAGAAUAAUAAUAGUUAUAGCUUGAGAAUAAUGGUGGUGGUGAUAAUGGUGGUGGUGUUUGUGGUGGUUGAUGGUGUUUGGGAGUAUUGUUUUUUGAUUUUGAUGUGGCUUAAUUUUGGGGAUGGAGAGGGAGGGGGGUACGGCGCGCGCGCGCGCCCAUCGCUGGGCAGCAGCGCGCGCCGAUGCGCGGCCCACUGUCGCACCAAAUCUGGUGCGAGAGCGCGCGCCCGCGCGCCUGUCGCACCAGCUUUGGUGCGACAGGCGCGCGCUGUCGCACCAAUUUGUUGGUGCGACAGGCGCCUGUCGCACCAGCUUUGGUGCGACAGGCGCGCGCUGUCGCACCAAUUUGUUGGUGCGACAGGCGCGCAUGUCGCACCAGCUUUGGUGCGACAGGCGCGCGCUGUCGCACCAAUUUGUUGGUGCGACAGGCGCGCAUGUCGCACCAGCUUUGNNNNNNNNNNNNNNNNNNNNNNNNNNNNNNNNNNNNNNNNNNNNNNNNNNNNNNNNNNNNNNNNNNNNNNNNNNNNNNNNNNNNNNNNNNNNNNNNNNNNGGUGCGACAUGCGCGCCUGUCGCACUUAAAAAUUAUAGUGUUUAUUAUAGUGUUUUUUUUUCCGAUUAUUUUUUUUUUCUGUAAACGUAAUGUAAUAAAUUUAUAAAUAUUACAGAUACAUGGCAAAAUCAGAAUCACCGGAUAUUGAUGUAGGCAAGAUGUAUUUUAGUUAUGCCGAUCACUUUCCUGGUCGAAUUUCGAGCAUGUGUAAGUUAUCUUCGGUCAUAAAAGCCAUCGAGGAAAAAUUAACAAAGCGGCAGUNNNNNNNNNNNNNNNNNNNNNNNNNNNNNNNNNNNNNNNNNNNNNNNNNNNNNNNNNNNNNNNNNNNNNNNNNNNNNNNNNNNNNNNNNNNNNNNNNNNNCUAUGUUCAAAAAGGAUAUAUUUGGGCAUUUCUUGGAGUGGUCGAAGUUUUCCAUUUAGUGGGGUAAUUGUGCACAAUCUUUGCUGAGGCAAGUGGCCCAUGAAGAAGAUAGCCGUGAGGAUCAGUUAUGGUUUCAAAUUGGUGAGCAUUUGAUUCGCUUGUCAAUUGUCGAAUGGUGCUUGGUUACUGGACUUUCAUUUGGUGUUGAUACCAAUCAAAAAAAUGAUCAAAUGGAGCAGAGGCUACGGAGUACGUAUUUUGGUGGAGUUCAUCGUAAGAUUAAUGUGAAGGAAUUCGAUGCAAUAUUUAAUGAGUUGAAAUUCGAGGAAUUGGACGAUAUGGACGCAUUAAAGAUUGCGCUGUUUUAUUUUGCGGACCGAGUACUAAAUGCAAGAAAAAAUCACUGUCAAAUCAAUUUCGAUUGGCUUGACCAAGUUGAUGAUAUACAGUACUUCCGAAAGCGUCCAUGGGGUCUGUUGUCGUGGGAAAUGAUUUACGAGAGUCUUGACAAUGCACUGUUCGAGAAAGACCAGAAAUUUCAGAAGACUCGGUCGAAAAAUCCAGAUCAUAACAUUGAAAAAUACAAUCUUUAUGGCUUUACGUCUGGGGUUCAGGUGCGUAUUUGUUUUUGUUUAUUAAUAAGUUUUAUAGUAUUAAAUAUUUGAUAUGUUGUUUUAUUUGAUUUUUUAAUUUGGUUGUUGUAGGCUUGGAUUUACGAAGCAAUCGGAGGGUUGCCAUCAACAUGGGUCGUCAAAACGAAGAAUAAGAUUCCCCGCAUUUUGCAAUGGAAGCCCAUGGCGUCUUCGAGAAUCAAUUUUGCCGAGGUUUAUUCGUUCUUCAACGACGAAUCUCGUCUUGUAAGUAAUAUGUAUUACUUAUUUUUUUAACUUUACUAAAUUUAAGUUAUGUAUACUUACUUAAAAUUUUCAAUUUAAUUUAUUGCAGGGGGACGUUUUACAAACUCUUGAGCCAAAUUCAAAGGAGAGUAGCAGAAAUUAUUGGGUCUCUGUGAAGGAUUACUUGCCAAGCAUUCCAGGCUGGGUUCUUAAGGUUGGUAUACUCUAAGUACUAAAAAUUUUUUAAUCGAAAUUUUUUACUUUUCAUUUAAUAAUUAUAAAUGAUACUUUAUACAGCACCAACACUCAAUCAACGCGAUGCCGUCGGUUACAAGGCAAUCAGACGAGCAUGACGAUCAUGACGACAAACCAAACCCAAUACCAGAGCAGCGUCAUGACACUUAUGAGGAUGAGGUGGCUGUUGAUGACCACCAGCAGCGUCAUGACACUUAUGAGGCUGUUGAUGACCACCAGCAGCGUCAUGACACUUAUGAGGCUGAUGAUGACCACCAGCAGCAAACAGACAACUCUGAUGACGCACGGGAAUCUGAGGUUAUAAAUAAUAUACGAUAUUGUUUCUUUAUAAAUUAUUUUUUUUUUUGUUAUUCUAAAGUUUUCUGUUUUUUCUUUUGUAAUAGUCGAGGACAAAGCAGUUUCAAGAUUACAUACAACGACGGCUGGAUAAGAUUGAUCGUAACGUUUACGAAAUAAAGUCAGAAUUAAAAGAUUUUAAAGAAACCGUUGUUGGCUUCAUCGACACAUUUUCUAAACGUCCAAAUAAGGAUUCUCCCACUGCACGCUCGUAUGCGGUGAGCAAAUUUUUAUUUAAUAAUUAUGUGCGUUUAACUUUUAAUUUGAUAGUUGUUUAAUAUGUUCUUCUCGGCGAAUGGACAGGCCCCGGAUGACUAUGGAGUGUAUACUAACGUGGGCAAUGAAAAUUUGUCUACGCCCACGUCAUUGUAUAGUUUCUACGGGGAUGUUAGUGGGGAGAGCGUGCAGGUGUUCUCGGAUGUGCCUCCCGGCGUUAGUAAGUUCGGCCGCGCGUACAUACCGUCGUAUGUUUAUAACAGUCCUUACAUGAUUCCUCCAGUCAGGCGAAGACAGAACGUCCGCCCUUUGCCUCGACCCCAAAUCUUGGAGCAUGCGAUUGACAUGAGUACGACAGUGGAUAUAAAUCCACUGAGAGGGUUGGAGGACUCUAGUAUGUUUGCUGAGUUUGAUCGAUGGUUCACUGGUGAUAGCAGAGUCUGCCGGAGAGUCCAGCACCCGCGGUCAUUCUUUCAAAUAAUCUUGGGGACAGCUUCGAUGGGAUGGCUAGGCGAUGAGGUAUUUAUAUUUUCGUCGUGAUGUAUACUGUUGUGGAUUUGUGUUUAAUUUUUUUUUAAAUCGUAAUAUUUCUGUUUCUCUACAGCAUAUUCACGAGUAUCUCCGCUUGAUUAGCGAGAAACAACGGCAGUACCCAAAUGCCUUACUCCAACGUGUCACACAUACUGACACAUUUUUUUGGGUAACGUGCAUACAAAUCGUAUAAAUACUAUUUAAUUUUGUUUUUCAUUAUUGCCUUUAAGUUCUGUUAAUGUAUGCAUUUCUUGGUUAUCUAUGUACUAGGUGUUCCUGAAUCAGUUAUGGAACAACGGGGAUUGUGCGGUCGAUUCAUUAGUAUUCGACGAUCGCGUGAAUAGUUAUCUUUGUGGGCGACAGCACACAAUGUCCAAAUCAAUGACGGAUGUCGAUAUGGUAUGUAUUUUGCUGCAAUUUAUAUACAAGUUGUCAAUUUUUCUUAGUUGUUUUUCAAUUUCAUAUAUAACCAACAUGUUUUUUAAUUUUUAUAUACAGUUACUCAUCCCUGUUAACUUGGACGGCGAGCAUUGGGUACUGGCACGAGUAGACUUUCGGAAAAACAAAGUCUGGAUUUAUGACUCAUUACUCACAUGCCGCGACGACAAAAGAUAUAGGUUGAAAUUCAAGCCACUUGAAGUUAUCUUCCCUCGAUGGUUGGAAUAUGUUGGGUUCUACAACAUCCGACCUGAGUUGCGGAGUGCCGACCCCUGGAAAGUUAUCGCAGUUAGGAGCGCGCCACAACAGGAGCCCGGAACUGGCGAUUGCGGUGUUUUUGUAUUGAUGGUUACGAUGUAUUUAAUGUUCGGGCUUGGAUUGGAGUUUAACGCUAGUCAUGUCGAGUACUUUAGAAAGAAGAUUGCGGUUGACAUAUUUAAUGACGAUAUUGUAUUGUAAACCGUUGUAGUAAUUUGAAUGUUUAAACUUGUUUUUUUUUAAAUUUGCGCACUUAAGUUUAUAUAAUUUUAAUGCUCACAUUUUAAUAUUUAAAAUCAAAUAAAGUUUUAUGAAAUAUAAGUGUACAAUACACAAAACACAAUAACAACUAACUUCGAGUCGACGCUAUGGGAUUCUUACAUCGCUUACGAUUAUGGCCCAGUUCAUGACACCGCCCGCAUCUAACAGUCCGCCUGUUAACGUCCUCGCCAGCCGAGGGUAUUCUGAGCUCUUUACGACGGCCAGGUGGUGGUGCCUCAACUGGUGGGUAUACUUGCAUCUCCACCAUUCAUCUGGAAUUCCCAAUCGNNNNNNNNNNNNNNNNNNNNNNNNNNNNNNNNNNNNNNNNNNNNNNNNNNNNNNNNNNNNNNNNNNNNNNNNNNNNNNNNNNNNNNNNNNNNNNNNNNNNNNNNNNNNNNNNNNNNNNNNNNNNNNNNNNNNNNNNNNNNNNNNNNNNNNNNNNNNNNNNNNNNNNNNNNNNNNNNNNNNNNNNNNNNNNNNNNNNNNNNNNNNNNNNNNNNNNNNNNNNNNNNNNNNNNNNNNNNNNNNNNNNNNNNNNNNNNNNNNNNNNNNNNNNNNNNNNNNNNNNNNNNNNNNNNNNNNNNNNNNNNNNNNNNNNNNNNNNNNNNNNNNNNNNNNNNNNNNNNNNNNNNNNNNNNNNNNNNNNNNNNNNNNNNNNNNNNNNNNNNNNNNNNNNNNNNNNNNNNNNNNNNNNNNNNNNNNNNNNNNNNNNNNNNNNNNNNNNNNNNNNNNNNNNNNNNNNNNNNNNNNNNNNNNNNNNNNNNNNNNNNNNNNNNNNNNNNNNNNNNNNNNNNNNNNNNNNNNNNNNNNNNNNNNNNNNNNNNNNNNNNNNNNNNNNNNNNNNNNNNNNNNNNNNNNNNNNNNNNNNNNNNNNNNNNNNNNNNNNNNNNNNNNNNNNNNNNNNNNNNNNNNNNNNNNNNNNNNNNNNNNNNNNNNNNNNNNNNNNNNNNNNNNNNNNNNNNNNNNNNNNNNNNNNNNNNNNNNNNNNNNNNNNNNNNNNNNNNNNNNNNNNNNNNNNNNNNNNNNNNNNNNNNNNNNNNNNNNNNNNNNNNNNNNNNNNNNNNNNNNNNNNNNNNNNNNNNNNNNNNNNNNNNNNNNNNNNNNNNNNNNNNNNNNNNNNNNNNNNNNNNNNNNNNNNNNNNNNNNNNNNNNNNNNNNNNNNNNNNNNNNNNNNNNNNNNNNNNNNNNNNNNNNNNNNNNNNNNNNNNNNNNNNNNNNNNNNNNNNNNNNNNNNNNNNNNNNNNNNNNNNNNNNNNNNNNNNNNNNNNNNNNNNNNNNNNNNNNNNNNNNNNNNNNNNNNNNNNNNNNNNNNNNNNNNNNNNNNNNNNNNNNNNNNNNNNNNNNNNNNNNNNNNNNNNNNNNNNNNNNNNNNNNNNNNNNNNNNNNNNNNNNNNNNNNNNNNNNNNNNNNNNNNNNNNNNNNNNNNNNNNNNNNNNNNNNNNNNNNNNNNNNNNNNNNNNNNNNNNNNNNNNNNNNNNNNNNNNNNNNNNNNNNNNNNNNNNNNNNNNNNNNNNNNNNNNNNNNNNNNNNNNNNNNNNNNNNNNNNNNNNNNNNNNNNNNNNNNNNNNNNNNNNNNNNNNNNNNNNNNNNNNNNNNNNNNNNNNNNNNNNNNNNNNNNNNNNNNNNNNNNNNNNNNNNNNNNNNNNNNNNNNNNNNNNNNNNNNNNNNNNNNNNNNNNNNNNNNNNNNNNNNNNNNNNNNNNNNNNNNNNNNNNNNNNNNNNNNNNNNNNNNNNNNNNNNNNNNNNNNNNNNNNNNNNNNNNNNNNNNNNNNNNNNNNNNNNNNNNNNNNNNNNNNNNNNNNNNNNNNNNNNNNNNNNNNNNNNNNNNNNNNNNNNNNNNNNNNNNNNNNNNNNNNNNNNNNNNNNNNNNNNNNNNNNNNNNNNNNNNNNNNNNNNNNNNNNNNNNNNNNNNNNNNNNNNNNNNNNNNNNNNNNNNNNNNNNNNNNNNNNNNNNNNNNNNNNNNNNNNNNNNNNNNNNNNNNNNNNNNNNNNNNNNNNNNNNNNNNNNNNNNNNNNNNNNNNNNNNNNNNNNNNNNNNNNNNNNNNNNNNNNNNNNNNNNNNNNNNNNNNNNNNNNNNNNNNNNNNNNNNNNNNNNNNNNNNNNNNNNNNNNNNNNNNNNNNNNNNNNNNNNNNNNNNNNNNNNNNNNNNNNNNNNNNNNNNNNNNNNNNNNNNNNNNNNNNNNNNNNNNNNNNNNNNNNNNNNNNNNNNNNNNNNNNNNNNNNNNNNNNNNNNNNNNNNNNNNNNNNNNNNNNNNNNNNNNNNNNNNNNNNNNNNNNNNNNNNNNNNNNNNNNNNNNNNNNNNNNNNNNNNNNNNNNNNNNNNNNNNNNNNNNNNNNNNNNNNNNNNNNNNNNNNNNNNNNNNNNNNNNNNNNNNNNNNNNNNNNNNNNNNNNNNNNNNNNNNNNNNNNNNNNNNNNNNNNNNNNNNNNNNNNNNNNNNNNNNNNNNNNNNNNNNNNNNNNNNNNNNNNNNNNNNNNNNNNNNNNNNNNNNCUCUUGGUGCGACAGGCUGCCUGUCGCACCUUCCUUGGUGCGACAGGCAGCCUGUCGCUCCUGUAGGCAGAAAUUUUUGGUGCGACAGGCAGCCUGUCGUCAGAUUCACCCACGACUCAGUUAAGCAAGUUCAGAAAAUAACACAUACCACUAAGUGAUGUCGAUUAGUGUUGGAUUCGGAUAGAUUAUGAUCGGAUUUCACCUUUACUGUUGUCUUUUGCCGUCGACGUUGGUUGAUGAUUAAGCUGCGUUUGGUUUGCCGAUAUGGGAGAAAGAUUGUUGCUUUUGAUCUGUAAAGAAGGGUAAUUUGGGGAGAAAGGCUUGUGUUUGGCUAAUGUUGAUAGAAAAAAGUUGAGAAGGUUAGUUGGGAAAAUAACAAAAUAUUUAUGGUUAUUUUCGUAAAUUUCCCAAACAGUUUUCAACUGAGAUUUGAAUUUUAAAAUUACAUACACAAACACACCUGAUUUUAAAGAAAAAAAUCAGUCGUCCUCUGUUCAGUCAUACACGCCCAAUUUAAAAAAAAAAAACUACUAAUAAAAUAUUUCAGUCGUCCUCUGUUGGGUCGUCAUCAAAAACCCAUUUACCAGCUAUUUCUUUUUUUUUUUUUUGAGAAGCAUUUACCAGCUAUUUCAACAUGCGGUAUAUAGAAUAUUUCAGUCGUCCUCCGUUCAACCAUCAAAAGUCUCAUCUAUAUAUAGUAACAUCAGGUAUAUGGGUUAACAAGUCCCAAUAUUGUCCUCCAUCCUUUCUGCACUUCUCUUCUAUCAACGGACAUCCCCAGAUGUCUAAUUGCAAAAGUGAGGAAGGCAGGCCCUUCUCCGGAAAGUAUUUGAGUUUGGGACAAUCCCCGAGAUACAAUGAAGCGAGGUUUUGAAGAUCAACAAUUGAAGAAGAUAGGCGUUCCAGAUUUGGAAAUCCAGAAAUCCACAGAGAUGUUAGAGAGGCAGGAAGAGGAAGCGCGGUCCCUAAUCUUUUGUCAUCUGCCUUUGGUGGAAAUGACACCAUGUCGUCAUCACAAUUAAUGAUUGUAAGUUGUCGCAGAGAGGAGAAUCUGUGAAAUCCCCGGCCCCGCUCAAUCAUUGACUUCCAAAUCUCCAUAUUACCCUCAAUCGUCAGUGACUGAAGGUUGGUGGGAAGGCCAUCUUCUUUAAGGCUUGGAAGCUCAACUCCUCUUCCUAUUGUUAAUUCUUGAAGAGAGGUCAGAUUGUGCAAUCCCUUGGGUAAGGCCUCUAGUCUCUUACAACUAGAUAUCUCCAGCCUCGUGAGUUUCGCACAAGGCAAUCCCCCUUCGGGAAAGGACACCAGAUUUCCACACCUUCUAAUACUAAUCUCUUGAAGCUGGCGGAGAUUAUGUAAACCACUCGGUAAAAUUUUCAGAUUUUCACACCACAAAAUACCGAUUGUUUCAAGAGAUGUGUUGUUGUCCAACCUUUCUGCUAUUGACUCCAGCUUUGAACAACUCCAAACAUCAAGUACCUUAAGAGACGGAGGCAGAUUGCCAACUUCAAGGGACUCAAGCGUGGCAGGUAACUCGUUUUUUGAAAAUAUACAUGUCAGAGACGGACAACUCUCAAUGUGUAAGUGCUCAAGAAGAGAUGAGGUGUACCUUCUGCUGCUGCUACUCUGGAUGCCCUCUUCCACUGUCAAAGUCCUUAUAUUAUCGCACUUGUGAAUC